GAUGCACGAGAUAGCAUAAGUAGUAGUAGGAAGCAGCUCUUAUUUGUGGCGUCGGUAUACAUCAUACUAGGUAGAUGGUUCAAUUGGCAUGGAUGGGUGGUGGAGCCUUGAAGUGCUUGUGAUGGGGAGCCCACGGCUUCUUCUCAGGAGUUGGUGGCUUCUUGUAUGGAGUUGAUGGAGGUGUUUCUACUGGAGGGUGGCCAGGGUAGUGACCCUGGGGUGGUGAAGGUUCUUUUGUCGGUGGUGGCCUCACUAUUAUUGGCGGUAGAGUUGGUGGCUUGGGCGUUGGCGGUGGUCUCACUACUCUUGGGGGUAGAGUUGGUGUCUUGUGUUUUGGUGGUGGAGGUGGCUUAACAGGAGUUGGUGGCUUGUAUUCUGGGGGUGGUUUCUCCACCGGAGGUGGCUUAUAAACUGGAGUUGGUGGCUUGUAUUCUGGGGGUGGCUUCUCCACUGGUGGUGGCCUGUAAACAGGGGUUGGUGGCUUAUAUUCUGGGGGAGGCUUCUCCACUGGAGGCGACUUAUAAACAGGGGUUGGUGGCUUGUAUUCCGGGGGUGGCUUCUCUACGGGAGGUGGCCUGUAAACAGGGGUUGGUGGCUUCUCCACCGGAGGUGGCUUAUAAACGGGGGUUGGUGGCUUGUAUUCUGGGGGUGGUUUCCCCAGUGGUGGAGACUUGUAAACAGGAAGAGGUGGUUUGUGCUCAUAUGGGGGUGGCUUGUGGUCAUUAGCAAGUGAGGGAGUGGUGAGGACCACCAAUCCAAGGAACAACACGAGUGAGCAAGCAGAAGACAUGUUUGGGCUCUGGUGAUGCACAAGUAGAAGAAAUGGGAACCAUUUAUAAUGCUUCGAGACCUUGGUUAGCACCAAAAUAUGUCAAAAUCUUGAUUACUUCAUUUCAUACAUAGAUUUAAAAUUAUUUCAAUCAACCAUGAUCCUUAAUUUUCUGGGUGGUCCAUAAAUGUAAUGGGGUCAAUUUGGGACCUAACAAGCUGAGAAGUUUGACAAUGCUGCAAGGCUUCAUCCGAAAGUCCGGGGAAGAAUAUUAGGAGUUACACUCCGUUUCCUUUUUUGGGUGCAUUUUUCUCCUUUAACAUUCUAUUCCCUUUUACAUUAGCAUUUGAUCUUAGCUCAUUUCAAGUACAAGUUUCUUGAACCCUAUACCAUUGUCAAAGUUGAGUAACCAUCUCUACUUUGCUCAAGAAACAUAAAAGACAAUGACAAUAAAGAAAAAGGAGAGAGACCAUACGUGACUUGGUUUAUAGGUGGCUUUGUGUUGACAUUUGAGUAUGGAAGCCGACAUGCAUCUUAGCUUCGAUUUUAAUUAAAUUUGUACAUUAGUGUCUGUGUCAUUCAUUUUGGUAUAAAAGGUCUCUUGAUUUCGUAAGUUUGGUAAGAACCGUUGAAAAUAGCAGUAGCAGCACAUGGUCCACUUUCUUUCACAAAAUAAUUUUAAAAGUUUAGAAGCAUAGGAGGUAACAUUAGUGGCCUUGUGGCUCAGCCACGAGUACUAUGUGGUGCUCGAGAAAUUGAGUUUAAUUUCCUUCCGAUAGUUCAUGAUAAGGUCCGUCACUGUCCUGAGACAGAUUGCGUUUUUUCUUUUUUCCUUUUUUAGUGUUUUAUUGACUAGCUAGGUGUGACUUUUCCUACUUUAAGGCACGAGGCAGAAAAGAAACUGGGAUUUAGUGCUUAAGAAGGCAAAUUUAAUUCGAUUUGGAUCUAAAAUUUGCCAGCAACAUGAGAUUUUCCAGCCUAUCGUUGCUCCACAUAUAGACAAGGCACUUGUAGAAGUGGCUUGUUUGUAGCCAUUCCCGAUAUUUGGACUCACUUGAUUCACCGGACACUUUGAUAAAAUUUAAUAUUUAUUAUUUAAUAAUUUAAAUUGAUUUAAAAUUAAAUUAUACCGAAGUUGUGAUUUAAAAAUUAUUAUUUAAUUCUUACUUUUAAAUAUGAAGAUUAUUUGAUAAAAAUAAUUUAAAAUUUAUUAUAAAUUAUCAAAUUAACAUAUUUAUCCUUAUAAAUUAUAAUUAAAACAGAAAAGGUCAAAUGAUUUGAGUAUCCAUAGAUGUGGUAAAAUAAUAAAAAAGAUUAUAAAAACAAUUAUGAUAAAUAAAGAUAAAAAGUAAAAUGAAUAUGUGAAUUUAAAGAAUAAAUUAAUUAUUUUUAUUUAUUACUUAAAAUUAUUUUUGACUUUAAAUUAUAUUAUUAAAUUAUUUUACCAAACAUACUUAAUUUAGUUAAUAAUUUAAAUUUAAUUUAAGUUAUUAAAUUGAUUCACCAAAUACCCACUUAAUCAAAGACUGAAGUAUACAUUAUUUGGCCAAAUGCAGCUAUUGAAAUUUAACUUUUUCCAAACUUAUUCAUUUUGUGGAAAUAUUUUUAGAAAUGAUUUUAAAAAUGCACUAUUCUGUGUGUUGAUUUUAUAUUUUGGCAUUAAUCCAACAUAGAAAACGGUUCUUAUUUUCGCUGUUAAAUAGGUACCAGAUCCUUAAUUAGUGCCGUGAAUCCGGCAGCUUCCAAUGAGUAAUUUGGACUUGGGUAUUGACAAUGUGUGGCCAUGCUUCUACUAUUUUAUUAUUCUUGAAACAUAUAUGAUAUAUUGGACUUUAUACAGGGAAAAAAAAAAAAAAAAGUCUUCACCAAAAAUGAUUCCUCCUAAAAAAUAGACUCCACAAACUAGGUUUAACAGGAAAAUGAUUCUAAUCUAGUAGUUUCCAGCCACAUGAGCAUUUACGUAACAAUAGUAUAGUUGAUAACGACUUUUAUUUUAUUUAUUUUUAAAUAGUUAAAGGGAUAAUUUUUGAGCUUAAAUUUUAUUUUUUUAUUUAGAAACAUUUUACUUUAUUUUUUAAUCAUAAUUCUAUUAUAUUAAUGUUUUAUUUUCUAUUUUUUAAUAUAUAAGGAGAUACUAAAUUUAUGUGAUUAUUUUUUAAAAAUUUAGUAUAUGAAAUUAAAUAAUUGGAUAUAUAUACAUAUAUCAUAUAAUGUUUUUUAAGUGUGAUUUUUGAACUUUUUAGUCAUUUUAUAAGUUUAAGCUUUUGAUUUUUUUUUUUAAACUUUGGUAUUUUUUAUUUUAUAUAAAACUAUUUUGAUUUAAUUUUAUUAAAAAAUAUUGGUAUUAUAAAUUAUUGUAUUAAUUAUUUUUUUAUAUUAUAAUGUAACUGGUAUAUACUAAAAAAUGUAUGCAAGUUCAAUUUAAGUUUCAAAUUAAAAAAUUUCAUUUAAAUAUUUAAUAACUUGUUCAUAAUAAAAAAUUAAACAACAUAAUACAAAUGAAAAGAAACAUAAAAGAAAAAGGAAAAAAUGGUCCUCUCUGUGUGUCACAUUACUAGGUCAUCCUCUUUUUCUAUGACCCUUACAAUAGAAUGGCAUAUUUGUCAAAUCUACUUAUGAAAGUUGGAAUGUUUCUACAUGUGUAGGGUCCAUUGGAACUAAUGGAGGAAAGGCUUAACGUCUAUGUAAAUCACAACGUUGCCUAGGUGGGCAUAGAUCUAGUUGUGUAACAUGAGAUGGUGUGAGAGUACAAUAUAUGCAUUGUAGUCUCUAUGGGAAGAGAGAUAGGUAAUGGUAGGGUGGUAGACGGUAGGGUGAUCUCUAAUAUAAUGACAUUUGAUGUGGUGGCUUCUAAGAGAGGAGAUAUAAGAGAUGGUAGAAUGACAUUUGGUGUAAUGGUCUCUAGUGCAAUGACAUGUGAUAUGGUGACCUAUAAAGAAGAGAUAUAGGUGAUGGUGAAGUGGUAUGUGGUGUAGUGACCUUUGAGAUAGAAAAUAGAGGUAAUGGUAGGUUGGCAGGUGGAGUGGUCUUUGGUGUAGUGACAUCAAUUAUAAAUGUCUCCAAGGGAGGAAAUAAAGGUGAUGGUAGGUAGUAAAUGUUGAGGUGGUCUUUGAUAUGUUAUGCUCUAAGAGAGAAGGUAUAGGUAAUGAUAAUAGGGAAUUUGACAUAGUGGUGUUGGAAAUAAAAAGUGAAAGUGACCGUAGAGGUGAAAGGGCAAGUGUAAAAGCCUCAAGUACGAAUGGAGUAAUUAAUGUGGAUGGUGCUAACAUAGUCUUAGGUGGAUACACAAAUAGUCAUAGUCAUCAACUAGCUUGCCCACCAUCUGUCUUUCUGCUAGUGAUAGGUUACAUCUUAAUAGUAAUGGCCAACAUAAGUGGUGUGGAUCCGAUUUUUUUACGUGUGUCCCCACUCAAUCGACAAGACUUAUUUUUUAUUAGUGAAAAAUUAAUUUUGGAAAAGUUGGAGUCACCACUUAUUUUAUUUUAUUUUAAAAAGGAAAGUAAAACAAGAAAGAGAACUCUAAAGAAGUGACUUCAUAGUUUUGGAAAAGUUAGUCUUAAAAAAUCCAAGUCUUGGUCCGGAGAUCAGGUUACUUAUUGGGAAGAUACCUCUAAGAGGUAAUACCCCUCUAAACCCUAAAGAAGUCUCUAAUGACUAAGUUGAGGAGAAUGUGGUAAUUAAUUAAUUGAUUGAGGGUACCUAGGUAGACUAAGGUGAUUUCAGAAUUAACAUACCAAGCUAGAAAGUCCAAUCAUGAUCAUAAAAGAGAGUCAAAGUAUGUACCUGAACUGCUUCUCAAACGCUAUCAUAAAACAUCAAAGUUAGUAUAGAAAUAUAACACAUAAUAUUUGUUUUAUCCAAGCAAAUAAAGCAUACAUCUAAGCACCCAAGAAUCACAUCAAGUAUGGAUAUAGUCAUCAAUAGCAUACGUGUCCAUAGAACUAUCGAAAGUAAAUGUGGAGGAGCGUAUCUGGACAACAUAGAUAACUUAUAAUGUGCUUCCACAAGACAUGGGGGUUAGAUAAAAGUUAUAAUAAUAAUUAGUAAAUGAAAGAAUUCUAGCAUGUUUGGUAUCUAAAUAACAUAGCAAAAAUGAACAAGAGUACACGAAAACAUCAAUUAUCACACGAGUCAUAUUGGCUAGUAUUUAAUCAAUAAACCAACAAUAAAUGACUAUAAACAUAUAAAAUGACAUAUUCAAAGAGACCCAAACAUAAAGAGCCUAGAACACAAGCUUACACUAAAUUUAGAAAACUAAAACAUGGAAUUUUAAAAGCAUAAAUUAGCAAACAAAUUGAUGGAAACUAAAUUUAGAUAACUUAAGAAUAUUUUUCUUAUCCUUCAAUUUAAAUCAGUAAGCCAACAAUAAAAAAUUAUAGAAACAUGGAAUAUCAAGAUCAAUGGGAUACCUAAACUAUAAUUUUUAAAAGAAAAUAAACUAAGCAUAAUAUCUACAAAGCAACUAAACUAACAUUUUUUUAAAAAUAAAUUAAACAUGACAUUAAUGGAGUAACCAAACUAAAUUAAAGUAAACUAAAAACAUUUAUGAAUUUUCAAACAUGGAAUCAGCUUUCUUAGUAAAUUAAAAUUAUUAAAAUAAAAUCUAAGCUUAAAAAUGAAUUAAAUACUAACUAAAGCAAAUCUAAAACCAAAUAUUUAACACAUAGGAUCAAUUAUAUUAACAAACUAAAAUUUUAUAAGAACACUUAAACCUAAAGUUGAAUUAAAAACUAACCAAUUUUUAAAACUAGAUCUUUAACCCAUAGGAUCAAUUAUAUUAACAAAUAAAUAAUAAAUAAUAAAUAAAUAAAACUCAAACCUAAAGAUGAACUAGAAAUGUACCAAAGUAAAUUCAAAACAAGAUCUUUAACACAUUAGAUCAAUUAUAUUGACUAACUAAAAAAAAAAAAAAAAAACACUCAAACCUGAAACGAUGUAUUAGAAACUAACCAAAGCAAAUUUAAAAUAGAGUCUUUAACACAUAGGAUCAAUUAUAAUCACUAACUUAAAUUACAAUUUUUGAAACAUGAACUAAUUAGUGUUGGAUUAAUUAAACUAAUUAACUAAAAAAAACUAUAAACUAGAAUACGGUGAAUCAAGAAUUCAAAUCAACAAACAUAAAAUAUGGGUACAAUGAAAUGAAAAUCUAUUAAACUAAUAAGACGGAAAUAUGACAAACUCAUGAACCCACAUUUUGAUCAACUAGGAAAUAGAAAUUAAUAGACCUGUAGCAUGGAUACAAUGAAAUGAGAUCAGUUAAAUUUAUUUGCCGAAAUUCUAAAAAACACAUACACUCAAAUAAGAUCUAAAUCUAAGACCAAGCAAAACUCAAACUUUCUCAAUCUAAUGCAAUGAAUCAAAACUAAAAUUAAAUAGAAAUCAAACCAUUUUUUUUUUAUCUAAUAUAAUAAAUCAAAGCUAAAACUAAACAAAAUCGAAUUUUCUUAAUUUAAUAUGAUGAGUCAAAGCUAAAAUUGAACAAAGUUCAAACCUUUAUAUAAUGGAUCAAAGUUAAAUCUAAAUGAAAUCCAUACUUCCACAAUUUGAUAUAACAAAUCAAAAAUAAAACUAGAUAAAAAAAAAGUCAAAGCCUUUCAACUUGACAUAGUGAAUCCAAACUGAAACGAAACAAAAUUUUAACUUUUCCAAUGAAACCCAAUAUAGAAAAAAUUAGCUUACCUUCUUUAGAAUAUAUGUAUGGGCCAUAAAGAAGUCACCUUGGUGCAUGUGUUCCUCACUUUGACGCCAAUGGACGACUUUCUAUGGUAGCAAAUGGAGAUCCUUUUUGGUGGUAACUUGCGUGUGGAAACCUAUGGUACAACCAAUGUCAUCUUUUAUUGUGCGUGUGGACCAAUUUCUUCUCGAGAACUCAUGUGUGUUGUGCUCAAAAUAUGUUGCCUGUGAGAAUCUAUUGGUAUACCCCACAUAUGGUUUCCUUGAGAGAAUCUGUGGUUGUGUGUGGGCGUUUUCUUCAUGACAGCAUGUGGAUGUUCCCAUCUAUGGUAGAUUGGUUGUGAUGCUUUAGUGCAUGGUCUCCAUAGGAAUAGUGUGUUAUGGAAAUUUGGUUUUUUUAUUGGUGCAUGUUGUCUAGACUUUCCCAUAUGCGUGGACUGUGUGUUCAUGCUUUUCUUUUCGGAUGGUCGCCUGUGUUAAUGUGUGGCGGUGUCUACAAUGAAAGAUACAACCCUUUCUCUCCUUCUGCGUGAUAGAAAAGUCAAUCCCCCAUGGUGCGACUAUGUUCCCUCGUCCUUUUUGAAAAAUUUUGGUGUUUUCCCCCCAAAAAAUCCCCUCCAAAAAUCUAAUUAUAAAUGUCUGCUUUGGCCUAAUGUGUGUGCUACUUUUUUUUUCCUUCUUUUUAUGGUUGUGCGUGCUUUUCUUGAUACGUGGCUUAUUUCUUAAGGAUAUGAUUCGCUCCCAAUUGGUGUCUCAGCUGAUUCAUGUCCUUUCAAUGGUCCCUGACAGUGGUGCCAUUUGAUUCGUGUCCAGCUGGUGUCCCUUGAUUGUGGUCCUCAGAAGGGAGUAAUCAAUAAAAUUUAUAACCUAUUACACCAUGUAUUAGGAUAGCCUUAGCUAGCAUAGCAUAGUGGCUCUAGGGUCGUUUAUUGGGAUGAGUUUUCACUUCACAAUUGAUAUUAAUUCAAGAGCUGAAUUGGUGCCUUUUCAUUUCAAGGUUAGCUUUAAAAGAAAACAUAAUCUUUGGUGGAAAAAGGUUUGGUUUUAAACUAACCAAAAAUAGUAACUGAUUUUACUUACAAAGAAAAGUGUUCUUUGGAGUUUAGAUCACUAGGCUCAGGUUCCUCAUACAAAAAGGAGAGUUCCGAUCAUUUGUUUCUUUUCCUCGCAUUAGAGAAUUAACAUAUAGUUAAUUCUCUAACCGGUGCGGUACAUAUGCUUCCCAUUAAUGGGUUCAAACACUAAAUACCUCUCACUGAUGCACCUUGCAAUGGCUCGUGCCUCUCACCUAGCAUUUAUCAUUCAAGGUGAUCUUUAACCUUGGAUUACCCAUCAAAAGCUCGCAAGAGAUAACUAAAGGAUGUCUCCUUAGAGUCCAAAAGCUUACCAAGUGUUGGUUAUUCUAGAAAAUCCUACCUUCAAACCACCUCCCAAAGGCUCGCAAGAGAUAAACAAGUGCAUCUCAAUGGAUGAAGAUCACUUGCCUUACCAAGUUUUGGCCCAGAUGAUUUAAUGACAUUUUAAGUUAACUAAAAAGAUAAAAACCAUUAACGGGUCACACUUUCUCUUCAUUAAAAACUAAAACAACAAAACUUCCAAUUUAUGCAUGAGGAAACUUACCUGGCUUUCUUCACUUCAAGAGAUGAAGAGCCUAGCCACUCAUCAUUUGAGGAAAAAUCCUCAGAGUUUGAUUUGCUAGAAAUAAAAAUAAUGAGAAAACAAAAAUAUAUAUAUGAAAAACAGAGCAAGUUCUCUGUAAUAUAUUUUUCUUCCUUAUACAAAAGGUUGUCUCUAAGAACAAGUUCCCGAGAUCUAUCUGAUUGUAAAUAAAAUUACAACUAUAUAUAAGAGGUUAUUCACCCCUUUGUUCUUUCUUAAAGACUAAGGAAUCCUAUGAUAGGUGGGUUACAAGGAGAGUUUGGGGAUUUAGACAUCAAAUAUCUAAAGCAAAAUAUCUCAAGAUGUUAGUCGGAAAUAUCAGGAAGCUUCAGGAGAACACCGCGACACUGUAUACUGAGAGAAAAACUCUCCGGGUAAGCUCUAUCAAAGGAUCCAGACAUGUCUGACUGGGAAAGUUGAAACGUCCUUCUCUCCCAUCCGGAUGUGAGAUAUCCGGAGAAAGUGAAAUGUCGGUCGGACAGAAUUCUUUCCCCGGGUGGAAUGAGUUGUGUUGCGCGUCGCAAGGGGGACCGUCUGCGUGUACAAGUUGUAGGGACCCCUCUCCCGGAUGACACCGAGCGCGUAAGGCUAUCCGGAUCAACUCCAUUCGGAUUCCCCAAGAGGACAUGUGGCGUGCUCCCCUAUCAGGACUCCCUUAGGGAGAAGCACACGACACUCGUGAACAUCAUACCCGGACGAUAGCAUGUCCUAUCCGGAUGUGUUGUCCGGAUCAUUGACUAAAGUGAGCAAGCCUUGCUACGUCAUUCGGACAGCUUGCCACAUACCAUGUUCCGUCGCCAUCUGAUGGUGUGUCCGAACGCCUUGUCCGGACAUCUUUUGCUCCUUGCAUUCCGGAUUUGCUUAUGACAAAGGACUUCAAAGCUUCGGUUCUUCAUGUUUCUGAGCUUUCCAUUGCUUUGCCAUGGAUUCCAAAGAACUCUCCUUAAUCACGGAUUGCUUUGGUGAUCAAAAAGUUAUCAAAACACAAAAACUUAACAUAGUUUGAUUAGAAUUGAUUGCAAGGGUUCUUAAUAUGUUAAUUGGGUUAAAAGGUGAUAACUACUACUCAAAAGUGUUUAUAAGAAUUAAUUACAAGCUAUGAAAUAACACUUUUUGAGUAGUAAUCAGGAUACAUCCUAGUUUUUCAUGGAAUUGAUAGUGGGUUGUUGUGCAUGAAUGCCACCAUUUCAACUAUGCUGUUGUUAUUUUUAAAAAAAAUAUGGAUUAUGCGCGAGUGGCAAUUCUCCACUAUGGAAAGUGGAUUGCUCCUUCAACCCAUGCAUGGCUACGUAUUCCUAUGUCUUUCUACUUGUGUUUGAUCCUCCAAAAAAAAUUUCGGUUUAGUGCUAGUAGAUUUUAAGUGGUGGAUCCCCAUUUUUUGAAAAUGAAGUGGCAGCCUCCCAUUUCAAGACAAAAUGGUAGCCUGCCUUUAAUCUUUGGAGAAAAAUCUGUGCAUGACCUUUUUUUUUCCCAAAAAAUCCGUGCAUGGUGUCCUUUAAUAUUUGGAGAAAAAUCUAUGUUGGAUCUUUUCUUUUCUAGAAACAUUUGUGUGGUCUUUUUUGUUAGCCCAAGGGUUCUUCUAAUCAAGUUUUGAUGAUAACAAACCAUGGUUAAGUGACUAAUUGGUUUAAUGAUUAAGAAUCUCAAACAUAAAAUCGAAAAUUCAUCAAAGGACCAAAUGGAUACAAGAUCGAGACGCUUGGAAGACUUGUAAUCAUAGGAAACUAAUGUAAGAUGAAUGCAUGAGUGCACUUAGGAUUUUCACACGUUUCAUGCAACUUAGAAAACCCAGUUUAUUCUUUAAAACUUCAUCCCAGUUUAUUCUUUUUAUGGUUGUGUGUGCUUUCCUUGAUACGUGGCUUAUUUAUUAAGGAUACAUCCCAGUUUUUCAUGGAAUUGACAGUGGGUUGUUGUGUGUGAAUGCCACCAUUUCAACUGUGCUGUUGUUAUUUAAAAAAAAAAAAAAUGGAUUGUGCGCGAGUGGCAAUUCUCCACUAUGGAAAGUGGAUUGCUCCUUCAACCCAUGCAUGGCUACGUAUUCCUAUGUCUUUCUGCUUGUGUGUGAUCCUCCAAAAAAAAUUUUGGUUUAGUGCUAGUAGAUUUUAAGUGGUGGAUCCCCUUUUUUUGAAAACUAAGUGGCAGCCUCCCAUUUCAAAACGAAGUGGUAGCCUGCCUUUAGUCUUUGGAGAAAAAUCUGUGCAUGACUUUUUUUUUCCCAAAAAAUCCAUGCAUGGUGUCCUUUAAUAUUUGGAGAAAAAUCUAUGUGGGAUCUUUUAUUUUCUAGAAAAAUUUGUGUGGUCUUUUUUGUUAGCCCAAGGGUUCUCCUAAUCAGGUUUUGAUGAUAACAAAUCAUGGUUAAGUGACUAAUUGGUUUAAUGAUUAAGAAUCUCAAACAUAAACUCGAAAAUUCAUCAAAUGACCAAAUGGAUACAAGAUCGAGACGCUUGGAAGACUUGUGAUCAUAGGAAACUAAUGUAAGAUGAAUGCAUGAGUGCACUUAGGAUUUUCACACGUUUCAUGCAAUUUAGAAAACCCAGUUUAUUCUUUAAAACUUCAAUUUCAUUAAAACCCGAGUUUUUAACUAAUGUACCUUAGGCAAAAUGUUUUAUAAUUGGCUUAAUAAUUCACCUAAAUACAUUUUCUAAGUGUUAGAAAAGAAAGGAAUUAAAAAAAGGUUUUCGGGGCAAAAAAGGCUCAACCGGUCGAGGCUAUGGUCAACCGGCUCAACCGGUUGAGGAACCAAUCGAUCGGUUGUGCUUGUCCGAUCGAAGACCAAUCGAGGGAUGCCAAAAAAUUUCUCUCUCUCCUAGUGGCCUUCUCUUCCCGGUCGAGGUUCGGUCUAGGCAACGGUAACAUGUCAAGCAUUAAAUGCUCCGACGACUAGUGAAUCGGUCGACCCCUAGCCCGAUCGGACGAGGUUGCCUUUUGCUGUUUUUGACUCCCGAGCUUAGAAACCUAUAAAUUGAGAGCUCCACUUCAUUUAUUGAUAAAAGAGAACACUUGCAUUCAAUAGUCUACCUACCUUUUCUUGAUCAAAAAGCUCUCAUUUCCUUCAUAGUGCAUUAAAUCAUCACUUGCAUAUCCUUUAGUGCACUAUUGUGUGUCAUCCUAGCUUUGUUUUGUAUUUGAGCUAUCCUUAAGCUAGGUUGAGGGAUUAUUUCUUAUAAAAAUCUGAGUGUUAAAGCCUUCAAGAGAUUUGAAUCUUGAAGAGAUUGUGUAAGAGCCCAUUGGAGCCGGAGUCCAAGUGUAAGAAGAUUGGAAGCUUGGUUGAAGCUUCAAGUUAGUGGAACCCUCACUCGGUUAGGAGGUUGAGGAGAGUGGACGUAGGUAAGGAAGUGUCGAACCAUUAUAAACCCGAGUUUGAAUUCUCUAACUCUAUCUCUUUAUUUUGCUUAUAUUGUGUUUGAAUUUGUUGUGAUUGAAAAGAUUUUAAAAACCUAAUUCACCCUCCCCCCUUUUGGGUUUUUUUUUCUUAAUUAAGCAUAACCUUUGUUUUCUAAUUUUCUUUUUAGGAAAAUCCAUGCGUGGUAUGUCCAAACUCUCCAAGUGGCAGUCUGCCUUCUUCUAAAAAAUUUGUUUCUAUUUCUUUAUUCGACUACCUUCCAUGUCUUCCUAAUGAGUGCUUGUGCUCAAUGGUCAAUCCCUGGUGGUUGCCUCCUUUUCCCAUAUAUACGUGUUGCAAAAUCAACAUCCCACUAUAUGUGGGUUGCCUCUAUGGCAAGUUCACAUUUCCCACAUGAAACCUAUGAGUUUCCACCAAAAAUUGCCAUGAAAAAGUCUUUAUAUGCAUCUCAUGCAAUAAAAAGUCAAGCCAAUACUCAUCUUAUCUCGAAAAAUAAGUAACCAAAAUCAAGAUCAUGCCUAAGUGAACUAUGCCAAAAGAAGUGUCCAAGUGACCUAUUAUGAAAAAAGUGCCUAAGUGACCUAAGGUGAAUGUGUGUAAGCUGGAAGGUGUCUAGGAUGUUUAGGACAAUGCCUAAGCCUAAAAUAGGGUUGCCAAGGGUCACAAUGGGGUUAGAUAAAUCUCUCAAUCAGAGUCUCCAAGGUGGCUCAUAAAAGAUAAGCUACACGAGUAAUGAUGGGCCACCAGGGAAUUAUUGUAAAGCACCAAACGAACACAUAAUAGGACAUGUGUUAGAAUGAAAAAAUGGAGGGUUUACAAGUGGUCUCAUGGAUGAGCUUGAUAAUUUAAAUGACUCACAUAAUGAACGUAUGUGAUGUUUCUCUCCAAUAACAAGCAAAACAUCACUAGCAAUAUGAUGAAUGUCUCCUAAAUCACUUGAAGUAGUCCUAGCAAAUCAAUUAGAAAAAUCACACAUAUUGCUCUAAUGUAAUAUUAUAUACAUCUGUCAAUGAAUGGGAGAACUAAUGACACAACCAUCAUGUUGAUAUCUCGAACCCUCUAAUCUCAUAUGUAGGUGGGAUCACACUUAGAAACUCAUAACACAGUAAUGACCAAUCUAAGUCAAAAUGUGUUGGUGAUCGGAGGCCCAUGAAUAUGAAGUUCUAGGAUGAUAAUGACAUCUUAUAAAGUAAUGAUCAUCUCCUUAAUAGAUAGGUGAAAUGUGUGUGUCUUAGGACACCAUCUCUCAACAAGACUUGUGAUCAAUCCCCAGUCUAGUGUAACAUGCCUAUUAUGACAUCCAUCGUAAAAUCUAGACUAGAUAAUAUAAGGACAAAUGUGAGGGUUCAUCUCCCUUUCCCACAUAAAUUUAAAAAAUUAUUAUUGACAAGUUAAGACCAAACUAAGUUGCAAAAUAUAAAUAAGUCCAUUAGAUAACAAAUUUAUGUUUUCUCAUUUUCUCAUUUUUAAAGAGAUAUUAUGUGCUUCCAUGUACAUACAUGCUAAAGUCAAUUAUACGAGACUUAUAUCCAUCUUGUAGAACCAAAUCGAACCUAUCUAAUAGAUCCAGAUUAGAAGUAUGUCCUCUAUACUCCAUAUUUAUAACACAUUUAUAAAGAUAAAUGCUAAAAAAAUGUUAAAGAUAUAAAUUUAAUGAACCAUACUUUAUGAUUUUAAUUCUCAAUUAUUGUUCAUAUUUAUAAGAGAAAAGUUAAAAAAAUUGAUAGAGUUUUCCCUCUAUCAUGGACAUUAUCCCAAAUAAAAAUAAAUUGAUUAUGCAAAUUACAUUAAUAUUUGUAACCAAAUGAUCAAUAACUAUCUUGUAUCAAUUUAGUAAAUAAAUUUAAGUAUAUCUUUUCAUUUAUGACUAACAAAUAACUCAUACUUGUCCAAUAAAAGCCACACCUAAUUUCUAAAAUUUUGUCUUCACCUCAAGUGAGUGUUACAUUGAGAAAGAAAAAAUAUGAAAGAAAAAAUGAACACCUUUUUCUUUUAAUAAAAAAAGGCCAUAACGAAACAUUAAAUCUCACUGUUACACCUAUCUUCAAUGGAAACAUGAGGAUGUGAAUGGUGGCGGUGAUAUUCUUUGCUUGAAGCUCAUAAACAAAUAUUCCUUACUAAGCCUAUGCCAUUUAGUAUUUCAAUAGUGGACCCCCCCCCCCCCCCCCCCCCCCUCCUUGCAUUUCAGAUUUAGCAAACUUAGAACCAAAUAACAAAGUGCAUUUGAACCCAUAAAGAAGUAAUGAGACUCUCCUAUAUUGGCAAUAGAAGAAAUUUUUGGAGGUAUAGGAGAUUCACGGAUGAAGAAGUUGGGCCCCAAUUGAGAUAAGACCCAAGAAAAGAUGGGGUAGAGAGGGAUGGUUGGAAAUUGUAAAGUAAGAUUUUCAAAAUGUAGUUGAUGACUAAGAUUUUGACAAUUUAAAAAAGGUUUAAAAAUGUAGUUAGCAAUCGGGGUUUUGUAACAUUUAAAAAAUAAAAUAAAAUCUCAGGCCACAUGGUAGCCCAUGUGAUUCAGAAGCUUGAGAAUUAUUUUAUAAGAAGACUUAAUUUGUGAUUUUUUUAUAACUAUAUUAUUUUUUUUCUUAACACACGAAAAAAAUUAUGAAAUAAGACAAUUUUCCUAAGAAAGCAUGUAAGUGACUCUUGGUUAUUUUAUUUAACUUCUUCUAGUUUGGAGAGGAUUAAUACCUUUGCUUUUACUCACUUGCUUGGAUAUGUACACGUUGUUCAUGUCACUUUUCAUUUAAUUUUCUGAUUAAGGGAAUUGGAACCGUACGUAACUGUCUUUAUUCCCUCUGAAACUUGGACUUGGAGUUGGACUUUCAAUCUCAUCAGUCGUGUUUCCAUAAAAAAGAAGAUGGAUUAACCAAUUUUCCUAUGCCUACUAAUCAUACACAAAACUCCACUUCCAAAUAAAAAGGAAUGGGAUAUCACUUGUUAAUAGUGGCUAAAGACUAUUAAUAACCAUGCAAAGAAAUGUCACAUUUUUUGUUCUACGCAAAUUUUAUUCAUCAACUACUAGAACCAUUUCAUACAAUAGUAGCUUUUCGAUCCUUUGAUAAAUGGACACUUGAUGUGAUAACACCAACUACACCUAUAUAUUCAAGCAAUCAUGCGUAUAUAAUAGUGGAUAUGGAUUACUUCUCUAAAUGGGCAAAAGUUUUGUCAUUCAAGGAAAGUGAACGAGGAAACACAAGUUUACUUUCAUCGGAACUAAUAUUAUAUAUUGAUAUGACUUCCCAUUAUUACUUACGAUGGAAUAUGCUUCCAUAAAAUGGCCUAGAUGAACAAACUAUCCAAGAAGUUUGGGAUCAAAUAAUAUAUAUAUAGUUCAUGUGUGAUUCUUUGGUUGACAACCUUGUUAAGGGGUGAGUGAAGCACUUUGGGCAUACCACAUACUACAUGCUAGACUUCCACCCAAGCUACCCUAUAUUCCUUAUGAACAAAGUAGAAGUUGUCAUCUCUCUUGAAUACCAAAUCCUUUCACCUAAUAAUGCUAUCUAAAAAGGUCUUAAAAAGGAUAAAAAUGCGCAUAUUUGAAUUUUUGAAUUAGGAGUGCUACUUAAAAAGAAGCUAGAUAUACAAUAAUAGAAUGUUAUCAAGCAUAUCUCUUCAAAGUUUUUGACCAAAAAAUAUAUGAUUUCUCAUUUUAGGUAGGAGACUUAGUACUCACUAUUCAAAAACCAAUUAUCAUUACUCAUAAAAACUAAUAGAAAGUUUGGGCCAAAGUAGGAUGGACCUUAUAUUAUGCAACAAUUAUGCCUAUAAAAUUGUUGCAAAAGAGGUUUUAGAAUCAAAUCAAUGAAUGAAAAAUUAUUAAAGCAUUACUAUGCUUGAAGGCUAGUCAUUUUCCCUUAAAGUGCAAUAUUAAGUUGCAUAGUACUAUGUGGAUCCGCAUUUUUCACAUGCGUUCCCACUCAUUGUCGAGACUCACUUUUUAGAAGUGAAAAAUUAGUUUUAUUAAAGUCGAAGUUGCCACUGGGGAUUUGAACCCUAACAAAAGGUUCAAUUUAAGGAUAAAAAUAUCGAUAAUCACAUAUAUAUAUAUUGGUACUUUGAUUUUAUGAAUAUAUUGAAGAAAUAUGGACAAAUAUUUUGACACAAAAUAUGUACAAAAUAAAAAUUAUAUAAAAAGUAAAAAUAAAUAUUUUAAAAUUAUUUUUUUAAAUAUAUAUAUAUAUAAUUUGACAUAUUUGAUAAUAAUAUAUAAGGGUCUCCAAAAAGCCCGUGGCCCGCUUUAGGCCCGGUCCGACCCGACAGGCUAAAGCCCGGCCCAAGCCCGCCGGGCCCAAGCUCGGCCCGAGCCCGUUUAUGGGUGGGCCGGGCCGCGAGCCCGUAGGCCUGCUCCUUUAAAAAAAAACUACAAAAAUAAAAAGUAUUAAAAAAAAUAUUCAUUUCAAAAUUUUAUUCAUUGAAUGUAUAAUUACAUUUGAAAAUGUGGGAAAAGUUUACAUCACUACAAAAUAAAUACAUCCCAACUAGGUUGGCACCUAUUUAUUUGUCAAUCAUCUGUAUUUUUCAACCACAAAAAAUAAAAAUAAAAAUAUAAUAUACAUUUAGUCAUUAUUUUCUGGCGGUGAUGGCGAACUAUCAUGCAUCCAUGAAGAUCUUGAUAAUUUUAAAGAUUCCAUAUCGGUAAGCAUCUUUGUUUCUCGAAUGGAAUCAUACAUCCUUUUAUCUGCUAUUUCCCAAUCUUUCACACAUAUCCCUGCUUUAAUAACAUCUGACGCUAAGUUGCAUCGUUUUUUACUAACUACUCUUCCACCUGCACUAAAAGCAGCUUCUGAUGCAACUGUACUCACAGGAACUGUUAGUACAUCACGAGCAAUUAUAGAAAGCACAGGAUAUUUGUGUUGAUGUGAUUUCCACCAUAUUAAAAUAUUAAAAUCUUCUUGAUCUUCAAAUGAAAUUAUAUCAGUAUUAAGAUAUUUAUCUAAAUCAGAUGUAUUAUUUGGAGAAUUAUUUGUUGUCUUUUUUCGACUUUUCAACAUUUCUAGAGCUCCUUUAUAAAAAGAUGAGGAGUUUGUAGAUGUAGGUGGUAAUUUAAUAGUAUUAAUAUCAUUACCAUAUUUUUCUUUAUAAUAGUUAUAUAAAUUAUAUAAUAAUGAAUUUAUUUCAUUUUUAAUUUCUUCAAUUUUUAUUUGGUCAUUAAAAUAAAUAAUUGUUAACCAUUCAUCCAAAGCUUCAAAUUUCAAUCUAGGGUCCACAAUUAAAGCAAUAUAAAAAAUUAAAGGUAUUUCUCCCCAAUAUUUUCUAAAUUUUUAUAUCAUUACAAAUAUUGUAUCAUUAAAUAUUUCAAAACUUAAAUAUUUUUGAAGUACAAUAAAAAUAUUAGUUAUUUGCGUAAUAACUCGAUUUGAAGUUGGAUAAUAUACACCACAAAAAAUGUUUGUUGAAGUAUCAAAAAUUUCAAAAAGAUCUCUUAAAACAUCCGCAAUAUGCCAAUCAUAAUCAUUUAAUGCAUAAAUAUCUGCUUCAUAAUCAUUGUUAAUUAAUUGUAUUUCAUAUAAUUCGACUACUUUUCUAUAUUUUGUAAUAUUUUCUAAAAGUUUAUAUGUGGAAUUCCAUCUAAUAGCCAUAUCCAAAUUUAUAUUUUUUCUUUUCAUAUUUAACAUUUUGCAACAAUCAAAAAAUAAUUCAUGUUUUGCUUGAAAACUAUUAAUACUAUAUGCAAUGCCUCUAAUUUUUUUCCAAUGUACUAUCAACAUUUUUUAAUCCAUCCUUUACAAUUAAAUUUAAAAUAUGUGCACAACAACGCACAUGAAAUAUUUUAGCAUGAUCUUCUUUUACUUGCCAAUAUCGUUUUAGUCUAUGUAUUGCUGCAUCAUUAUUAGCAGCAUUAUCUAAUGUUAUUGUCAAUAUUUUAUCACGAAUGCCUAAAUCUAUAAUUUCAUCAUUUAUUAAAGAUGCUAUAUUUUUACCACUAUGUGGAGUAUUUAUUAAUUUAAAUAAAAUUAUUCUUUUAUUUAAUUUCCAUUCAUUAUCAAUGUAGUGAACAAUUAUAUAUAAAAAACCAGUAUGAGUUAAAGAUGUCCAAAUGUCAGAUGUUAAACGAAUAUUUCCUUCAAAAUUUGCAAAAUUUUUUUUUAAAAUUUCUUUUUGUGUAUAAAUUUUUUUCAUAAUAUCUCUUUUAACUGUAUUUCCAGAUCAACCUUUAAAUUGAGGAUUAAUACCUCGUUGAAUUGUUCUUGCAAAAUCAUGAGUUUCCAUCAUGUUGAAAGGUUGUUCUGCUCUUAUUAUAUAAUCAAUCAUUUCUUCACAACAGUUAGAUUCAUCAUAAGAAAAUGUUUUUAAAUUUCCACUUUCAUUUUUACUUAAUUGCAUAUAAUUUCUAAUAUCUACAUUAUUUUUAGUUUUACAAUUUUCAUGAUGUCUUUUUAAAUGACUUGUAUCUGCAUUUGAGCCACCAGUAAGAAAUUUAUUACAAAUUUUACAUUUUGCUUUUAUUUUUUUUUUAUUAUUUUCUAAAAUUAUUUCUAUUCUAUCAAAAAAAUUCCAUAUAUUUAAAGUAAAUUUUUUGUUUGAUGAUAUUUCAUCACAUGGACUAGACGAAGAAGCACUUGUCAUAUUAUAAUUAUUGAUAAAAUAUUAUGCCAAAAAUAAUAAAGUAAUAAAUAUAAAAAAAAAUGUAACAAAAAAAAUAAAGUAGUAGGGGUGAAGUAUGUUACUCAAUUAGAGAACCUAUGCAGAAAUUCCUAGCAAAUUUGAACUCUUGGAGCCACCAAUGCUUGUUUUGCACCAUCAACAAUAUUGUAUAAUUUGAGGGAAAAAUAAAAGAAUUUAAAAUAUUGUAGAAUGUGAGAGAAAUAGAGAGAAUUUGAUGAAAAAAUGAAAAGGAAGAAAAUGUAUUUAUAGGAAGGUUAAAAAUAAUAAUAAUAAUAAUAAUAAUAAUAAUAAUAAUAAUAAUAAUAAUAAUAAUAAUAAUAAUUGGCCAUGUGACCGUUGGAGGCUUAGCUCCAACGGUCACAUGGGCUGGAGCUAGGCUCCAACAGUCACAUGACCGUUGGAGCCUUUAAUUUUUUUUUUUAAAAUAAUAUACUUUAUUUUUAUAUAUAUAUAACUAACUCAAUUAAUAAACAUAAAAAGAAUAUAGUUCAGUUGGUUAGAACCUUGAAGUUUAAACAUGAGGGGAGGGGUUUGAAUCCCUCCCUCUCCCUUAGGGGCUUUUUUAAAAGCCAUUUUGGCUUAUUUCAAAAAGCCUGUCGGCCCGACCCGCCCUGCAGCCCGCGGGCCUAGCAUUUUAGCAUGGCCUGGUCUGUUGACUAGUCAAAUGGCUCAUAGGCUCGGCCCGAACUGGGCCGCGGGCCUCUUAUUUACGGACCGGCCCGACCCGGCCCGCCCGUUGGAGACCCUUGAUAAUAUCUUCUAUAUUAAGUUACAUUAUAGUUUAUUUUACAAUAUUAUUAUGAUAAUAUGUCUAAUUUUAAAAUAUAUUUAAUAUUAAAAUUAUGAUCUAUUUUAAUUUAAAUGUAUUCAAUGAUAUCAAAUAAAUAAUAAUAUAUGUAUAAUUCUUUUAUUAUUUAUAUUUAUUAUUUUUAAUAAAUAUAUAGAUUAUAUAAAAAAGACCGGAUAUAUCUUUUCAAAUUUUGUAUCGCUCUCCAAGGAUAUUAGAUGUAUGGGAAUUUGUAUUGCUAUCUACGGAUACGUUGAUAUAUGGGUGAUUUAUCAGGAUAAUUAGAAAUUCUAAUUAUGUAAGCAGGUACGGAGUUCUGUGUCGGUGCGAUCUUGUCGACAACAGCUCCAAAUUGUGCAUCUUGCUCAUAGAGAGUAGCGGAAUGCACCAAUCGUAGGCUCAGAGUACCACUGAGUCGUCUGGCAGAGACCCAACUGAAGGUGCCUGUGUUGUUCCUGAUCUGAUCAGGCUUCAAACUACAAGGUGGAAUACUGGUUCCCCUAUAUCAGAAGCUGGAGAUACCCACCCCAUAUGCUCGUCUGGAUGUGCUCCUACCCUUUGAAGCCUUCUUCCGAGUCAAGUCCGAAUUGAUAAGGCUAGUGAGUUCCCAACCAACUGUACUCAGCAUGCUGCCAGGUGGAGACCCUCCAUAUUUGAUGGCUUCCUAAUAUUAAAAUGCUGACCACUGGUCUUCAUGUUCCACAGGCUUAAUUGUGUCCUUUGCUGAAAGAAUGGAUAGUGAUCCAUUUUAACACAUGAUUCACGCCGUCUUUGCCAUUCUUCAUGGUCUAGCCCUUUUAUAUAUAUGCUUCCUGAACUGUUGCUAUUAAUAAAAUGUGGUAUCUAUCCCGUACACCUUCCUGAUGGCCAGCGAAUGCAGAAGCUACAGAAACGGUUCCAUCUUUUGCUUCCGCCACUUUGGCAUCCUCCAUGAUGAGAUCGAAGGUGAAUAAUCAUAUUCUGGGGAUUUAUGUCCUGGAUAUUCUCAGUAAUGCCCAAUUUCCUGGUGCCGGCCUCAUUUCCAUGGGAACUGAUGGAUAACUUAAGGCUUCUACCAUCUGCGUGGUUCGCUUCUAACACAGGAAACUUCACGGCUAAAAGCAAGAUACCAAGAACAUCAAGGCUGUGACAAAAAUUAGUAUUUUUAACUUGUAGGAAUUUGAAAGGCAACCAACCAUCUAGCUCUGUUCUUAAAGCUCCCAUAGGAGGAUCAGAGGCUGGAUUGCUCAAGAUGAACUCAUCCAUUGUUGCACUUAAAAAGAAUUGGCAUGAAUUGUGGCCGCUCUAAUAGGUUCCCUAAACCAUCAUCCAAGUGGGCUUGCGGAAGGUAGCGAGUUUAAAACACCUAGGGCGAUGAACAGUGGACUGUGAUGCUCACAAAAGAGAAAAGGAAGAAUUCAAUAAUUCCUAAGAAUCCAUUUGCCUGUCAUCCAAAUUUUUAUAUUCUCUUCAGUCUGACGCGUUAUGCCAUAUAUUAAAAAUAGCGGCUUCUUCCAAGCCGAGACAGACUGUGCAAAGUUCGCAAGGCCAAUCAUCACCAUAAUCUGAAGUUGGCCUCCUCAAUCGCAGCUUGUAUCCGAAUGCUCACUUCACGGGAUGGAUUGUAAUGAAAACUAAUCUCAGUCCCAGCUAUGGCAGCAUCCUCACUUGACAGCAUUUUCUGCAUAUUCUAGAACAAAGCAAUAAACCCUCAAAGGCUCCUUCGGAUCAGAGUUAGAAGACUGUCCCUCAGGAACGUGAACACUAUGGUGGUUCUGAUAAGCAGUGAUAUUGCAUUAGAGCCUUUUGGAACAAGAGGAUCUUUUCAGGUGGAAACUGUAAACUGCUUCAUGUUGGGCUGCAACCUUUUCUUCAAGCAAUACUUUCUUUCUGUAUCACGACUUAUGUUGCUUCCGGAGCCAUCCCGUGUGGACUGCCCUUCAGUGAAAGAAUAUGUGUGUUGACAUGUUGGAUUGUAAUCUUUGUUCCACUCUAAUGGCUUUUGGUCCUCCUCUUUCUCUUUAUGACAGAGAACCAUUUAGUGAUCCAUCUCUAUAUUGUAGCAUUGCUGGUGCUUUGCAAUACUACACUCUCACCAAGCAUAACAUCUAUUUUUCCGUGACCAAAGUAUGUCGGUUUAUGCAUGCGCAAACUCUUAUUCAUUGGCAAGUUGUCAAGCGUAUCUCAUGAUUUCCCAAAGCCACAAGUUCUUAUGGUCUUUCUGUUCAAGCUUACAAUGAUCUAUCUUUUCUUGGUUAUACUGAUGUCGAUUGGGCUAGUUGCCCUGAUAACAAGCACAAUACUAGUGGGUACAACACUUUUCCUGGUCCUAAUCUCAUUUCAUGGGCAUUUUCAAAGCAGAAGGUUGUGUCUCACUCCAAUAACGAAUCUGAAUAUAGGGGACUCACUAAUUAAUGUUGUUGCCAAGGUCACUUGGAUUGAAUCUGUCUUACGUGAGUUGCGUGUUUCUCUACCCCAACCACCAAUUUUGUUGUGUGACAACAUUAGUGCUACACACUUGGACAAACCAUGUUGAAAUACACUAUCAUUUUAUCCAUGAAAGGCUUAUGCAUCACACACUCAAAAUUCAAUACACCUCUUCUAUAGACCAACUAGUCAAUGCUAUGACCAAAGCUCUUCCUUCAUCUCACUUGUACAAUCUUCAGUGCAAGCUGAUUGUUCUUCCCAAACCACUCAACUUGAGGGGAGAUGUUAAGCCAAUUUAAUAAAUUGAUUUCUUUUGGUUAAUUUGUUAGAAUCAUUUUUAUUAGAGGUUUGUUUGUACAAUUACAUCCAUUUAUCAGGAGAGUACACGUGUACAACUCCUCUUUUAAUCUCACCAUUGUAUAUAUAUGAUACACGACCUUACUCAGAAUUGCAUAACAUUUCCUCUGCUCAUUCCUUUUCUUCUUUGAAUUUUCCCUUACCUCACUGAUUUUGAUUUAUACCUGGUGUUUUCACCUUUGGUCUCUACCUUUCUAGCCAGUUUUCUAAUUAAUCCGUAUAUGGUAUACCUGUCAACUAAUGAGGAGAAAGAGAAAAGGGGAUUGCUGUUCCACCAGCUACAUAUAAUAAUUAAUUACAAUCAUGGUAAUGGAUCCUGAAAUCCAUCCUUUGUGGAUUUUGUACGGAAUAUUGUUGUUAUGUAUGUGGGCUCACUUAGAUGUAUAUUGCUAGCCUGUCUGGGAAAUGUGAUUGCAGGUCCAGAUUAUGAUGUUGAUAUUAGUGGGAUAAGCAAGAGAUGCAGUUAACACGUAUGUGAUGGACUUGAGUAACUUUUCCAUUUCAGUCCAUUUUUUAAGAUUAUGCUUAGUCUUAUUACAAGGAAAGACCAUAAGAAUCAUGAGUCAUUGGCAAGGUAAUAUCAUUCCCUCUUUACAGGCUUCUUCACCUUUUGGUUUUUUUAAUAUCCAUCAAGAUCUUUUAAUUGGAGGACAAUUACAAGUAUAUAUAUAUGUAUUAAAAGGGGAAAAUAUUAAAACAGGAAAUUUUAGGGAAAAUAUAAUAAUUAUUUCUUCCUUCUUUCCCAUAUAGAACUACACAAAAUAAAACUUUAAUAAUUUUUUCUUAUCUUUUUUAUUAUUAUUUUUUCUUAGAAACAUCCGUGGUCUCACAAGCUUGUAAUCCUAGAUUGUUAGGCUCCUUUAACAGUGCCCCAACAUCGUGGUCCAAUGACAAGCUUCCACGCCUUAAAAUCAGAAAAUGCCAUUAAACUUUAUCAGACAUUACAGUUCAAGACAAAGCUUUCAUUUGCUUAAUGUGAUAAUGAAAUUGUUAAUUUCAUUUCGUGGGCAUCUAAAUUUGGACGAGCAAGACCUCUGAAUUCCCUGUUUUUAUCACCAGCAGAGGAGAUAAAAUCUUAAUGGUGAGAAUCUCCACGUGAAAUUUAUGUGUACUGUCAACAUAUUUUUGUUUAUAUAGUCCAGUAGCUGCAGGAAGUCUAGAUUAUAUAGGUAGCAGUAGCACUAUUUAUAGCACUCGAUAUUCGCUGUAUGAAUACAUUAAACCUUGUUUUCAAUACGCAUCACAAGCAAGUACUAGAUACUACAAGGAGUGACAGUCGCAUCAACAUUUCUUGAUAAUAGCAGUGACUGAUUUAUACACAGAACAGUACUGUACACGUACCAGUCACCAGAGAUAGGAUCUUAUUCCUACAUACGACUCUUAUUGAUCGAAGUCACUCAGUUGGGGUAGCCUGGAGUUGGAGGUUUGUGUGGUGGCUUCUUCUUUGGAGGAGGCUUUAUCUUUGGAGGCAUCAUCUUUGGAGGCAUCUUGUGUGAGUCUUCUUCAGCAUUCUCUACAGGAGGAUGGCCAGGCUUAUGACCCUUAGGUGGUUUGCCAACUGGGAUUGGUGGCUUGUGUCCUGAGAGUGGCUCCUCUUCUUCGGGAGGUUUGCCAACUGACGUUGGUGGCCCGUGUCCUGGGGGUGGCUUGUGUUUUGGGGGUGGUUUCACUCCACCGGGAGGUUUACCAAUUGGUGUUGGUGGUUUGUGCUCAAUCGGUGGCCUCUCAACUGGGGGGCGCUUGGGGUAAUCAGCGAGUGAAGAAGUGGUGAGAACCACCACUCCAAGCAACAACACUAGCAAGUAUGUGGAAGACAUCUUUGAGUUUGGCUCAGAUGGUGUAGAACUAGAAUCCUGGGUGGCCUUUUAUAUUAGUUGGGCCCUAUGCCCGAACGACAAGUGUCAUGGUGACACAUAAAGUGAUGGGGUCGAUUUGGGCCUACCGGAUUUGAAAACUUGGACAAUUCGAGAAGCGUCUCCUGACUCCGGGUUGUAAAGUGAAAGAUUAGGUAUCGACCAUUGAAGUAUGAUCACAACUUUUGGCCUUUGGCUCUCUCUACUGCCGUAUAGCUUUUUUCCUUUGGAUAUUUUUCUUAGCUAGACACAAUUAUUGAGCAGUCUAAUCUCGAAAUGGGAUUAGUAUAGCUUUAAGCAAAUUUAUUAUAGUUAGUGGAGGACUUUUAAGAGUGCAGACGACAUUUAACACAUGCAUGCAGUAGUAUAGGGGACAUAACACUAUUCUUUUUCCAAAGAUUCACAUGAUUUUUAUAUUAUAGUAUUGGCACAUUGUAUGUAGCUGGUUUUGUGGUUAAAAUUCCAUAUGUAGACACUGGCGUUUCUCCAUUUCUCACAAUUGAUGUUUACCUCCACGAUUACUAGAUUAGAUAUACCAAACAAUAACACAUUGUAUAAUCUAUCCGCCCUUCAAAAUCUACUGUAUGAUGAAAUGUUUCAUGUGUGUGUGAAGUGUUAGAAAUGCACUAUAGGCAACAUCAUCUUCUUUUGUCUAGGCUUGGGCCUCAAAUUAUACUCCCAUGCCAUGAUAAAUUUUCAUGUGCAUUCUCUAAAGAAGAGUGUCUUGAAUGUGCCAAAUCAUUUUGAUUGAUUUUAUGAUGUUAAUUGCUCCGCAUAUGGAUGGGUAUGUGCUUUAUUUGCUUAUUCAAUCCACAAUUACCUUGAACUGAAGUCCUAUUGGAGCUCUAUUAUUUUAGCAACGUCCUGUCAAAUAGGCUGCUAACUUGGGGUGGUAUGGACCCAAUGAUCCAUCUUAAUCUUGGGUUGAUUUUGUCUGACUCUAUCUAUCUCAGAGAGAACCAGGAUCACCAGUGCUGGUCUGCUUAAAGAAGACUCAGUACUGGAUUAAUAUUGGUUUGGGUCAAUAGCUUAUAAUGCAUUGAAUGCAGAAUAAACAAGAUCAAUGAAACCCAAAACACACUGCCCACACAACUUCACUCUGGUGUCUGUUAUUCAUCAAUUCUAUUCCCACAUGAACUGGUUCAAGUUUAAGAAAAUGACAACGGAUCCACUGUAUUAACUUGGUUUUGCUUGGUUUUGAGCUAGUUGCCAAACCAGCCAUGAGUUUUACCUCUAAUGUCAAUGAACAAACCCCAAAUGAACAACUGCAACAGCUUAAAGAGAAGGAAUGGAGAUGAAAAUCCCUGUUUCUUCUCAUUCUGGGGACAAAUUAGAACAUAACUACAAAGGUUCUAUUAAUUGACUUACUCUACCAUGAAUUAUGGUUCUUUGGUUUUCCAAAUUUAAAUUGUACAUGAGAUUAUUUUUUUCCUUUAUAUAUAAACAUAUUAAGGUUUUCUUAUUUCGUGGGCAAAUGCGCUAAGGAUGAAAGUCAUUUCAUUUGGCUGCAACAGCAUCUUAUAAUCAACAUGCAUAAGCAGCAGUUUUAAUUGAUCGAUUGAACACCGACUCACAAGAAUAGAUAGAAUGGUACAAGACAGCUCUUAUUAAUUUAUACUCGUUACUCAUUUUAUGUAGCCCCAUUAAGAUGGCUGGCUGGACCACCGAGGUCUGGGGGUGGUGUUGCUUGUGUGAUGCAGCGGGCCGGGCAGACACUUCUCUAGUUGCUUCUAUUUGGAGUUAGAGGAUCAGUCUCUGCCAACCUUGAGGACUCUCUACCUCAGAGGGUCCAGGUGGUGGACUCUGGUGUCGGUAGCUUUGAACUCUCAGUAGACUAGUGUGUCUUAAUCAGUCACUGCCAGAGGCUGGCGUAGGCAGUGACGAUAAGGUGAGACAAAUUACCGAAUAGUCAAUAUCGACUGCACUUGACCAUUAUAGAUUUGUUCUGACAAAAGUGAGAAAAGGGAGAAAAUCGGAUGUUGACCUUUAUAGAAAAAGAUAAGAUUUACUGCAACACAGAGCACUGAUUUGUUACUUGGAAACCAAGUUAUGCUAUUAGCUAGCCUCCAUUAGCAGCAGGGUACCUUGCUGCCUGAUCCUAAUCUGAGUUCCCAAGGUUUCAAUCUUCGUUUGUUAACGCUUCAGGAUUUGGAUAUUUCAGCUUCGUUUCUCCAUUUAGCCAACGCUGCCUGGUUUGGAUUUCAAUCCUCAUCUGGAACAUUCUUUUUUCGGUCUGAUUCAGGAAGUGUUUGGUGAUAGUUGAUUAAAAUUAAACAGUACUAUCAUACAAAUAAAGCUGAUCUAAUUUUGGUGGGCAAUAUACCAACUCAUUUAUUCUUGAAAACACCAUGGGGAAUUGGAGGUCCAUCCGAAGUACUAUUUGAUGGGACUCACAAAAAGAACAGGUGCACAUUUAUGAGAUCCGUGGAAGAGAUAACUAUGACAGCUAUGCAUGUACAACAGAUUUAUGUCGAGUUCACCUCGUAGAUAUUUUGUUUUCAGUGUCGGUGGACCCCAAAAUGGAAAUCGGAAAUUAAGGUUAUAUUUAUUUUUUUAUUUAAUUUUAAAUAGAAUUUUAAUUUUUAAUAAUAUUAAGUAUUAAAUUAUUUUUUUAAGGGUAUUUUAUUUUUAUUAAGUAUUAAAAAGUAAAAAAAAUUAAUAUGUUGCUUUUUUAUUUUAAAAAAAUUAUAUAUUUUAAUUUUUUCUAUUUACUAAAAAGUUUAUAAUAAAUUAUAAAAAAAUAAAAAAAUAAAAAACUUAAAUUCUGAAAAUAAAUUAUUUUUAAUAAAAAAAUCCAAAAAAGCAAACACCACCUAAAUUUGAGAUGACUCAAAAUUUUAUAUUUUUUUUCACCUAAAUUAUAUUCAUAAAUUUAAAAUUAAAAAAUUAGGAAGUUGAAUUUUAUUUUGGAUAAUUGGAAACUACAAGAAAUCAAUAAAAAUAUUUGGAAAAAAAAGAAAAAGAAAAACUAUCUAUAUAUUCACCCCCUUCUAAGAAACAUAACUUUAGUUUUUAACUAUUUUUUAAAAUAAUUUUUGAAAAAUGUUAUAUAAUAUUUUAUAAAACAAAAAAUCUGUUUGACAAUUUGAUAUGUCUUUAACUUAUUUUUAAUAUUUAUAUAUAUAUAUUUUAAAAAUAAUUUUAUAUUUAGAACUUUAUCUUUAAUUAUUAUAUAUAUUUAUAUAAUUAUUUUUUUUAAAACAACUCUUAAAAAAUAAGUGAAAGUAAUUGAAAACAACUCAAAGAUAUUUGAUGAAAACACUCUAAUUUGUAUUUUUGAGAAUAAAAAAAUAAAUAAAUAAAUUUCUAGUUAUCAAAUGUAUUUUUUAAUUCUUUUAUUCUAAAAAAUAGAAAAUCGUUUUUGAAAAUAAUUAUUAAACAACAUUCUUAAAAAUUCACUCGUUACAAUCUAGAUUUAAUGCAAGAAUGAUUGAAGGAGUCCUCCAAUAGAACCCAAAGUUAUAAACAUGAACAAGAAGCCCUAGAAACACCAAAGAUCUCAUAUGGUAUAUAUAUGAGCUUGAUUGAGAACUGUUUUAAAUUCAGUUUUUUUUUUUUUUUUUUUUUUUUGUUUUCAAAGUCAAAACAAGUUUACUUUUAAUUUUUACUUCUUUUUUUUAAUUUUAUAAAUAACAGUUUUUUAAUAAUUUAUUUUGAAAACAUGAUUAUUUUUAAAACUUAUAAUGAAAAUAGGAAUUUUUUUUUUAAUAUCAUGGUUAUUUUCCCUUCUUUUAAGGAGGGCUAUUUUAAAAAUAAAUUUACAAAUAUGAAAAAUGAUUCAAACUAAAGCAGUACAAAUAAAAAACAUUUUUAAGAAAUAUUUAAAAAUAGAGAAAAUUAUUUGAGAACAUUUGAAGUCCUUAAAUAGACUUUUGUUUUAGAAAAGGCAAGAUAAUUAUUUUUGAAAAUUGUUUUCAUAAUGAUAUGCAAAAACCUACGUAAAAACCAUAAUUAUAAUCGGCCACAUAUCAAAUCUACUAAAUAUGAAAAGUAAGUACAUAAUUAUAUUUGACUUAGAUGCAAGGAGGAAAAUGUCGCGAUAUUAUCGCCGAAAUAUCGUGUGUCGAAGGGUAUCGACACGAUUUUUCUUGCAGAAAUAUCGGCCAGUCGAUUUUUCGGGAUAAAUCUCGAGAAAUCGGCAAUUUAUCGCGAUAUAUCGGCGAUUUUUCCUCGAUAUAUCUUCUGGUCAACGCGGGUCAACGGAGUCAACACGCUACAGUGAAAGUCAAAUGUGCUACAAUGUCCCCGCUACAAUCACCUCCCCAAACAAAUUGCCAAAUUGCUUCCGAGGGGAUUUGAACCAGCCUUCUUGCCAUUUGGGCUAACUCGCCCUUAUGAUAUAUAUUGCAUUAAACAUAUAUAUACUUAAAGUCCUUAUAUAAAGAAAAUGUUAAAAAAAUAUUUUAAAGAGCAAAUUAAUUAUAAUUAUUUUAUAAUUAAAAGCAAAAUUUUCUUUUAAUUAAUUACCAAAAAUAUAAAAAUUAUAUAAUUUUCUUCAUAAUGUUUUUAAUAUCAUUAAUAAUUAAUUAAAUAUUAAAAAAUUAUAUAUAUAUAUAUAUAUAUAUAUAUAUAUAUUAUAAUUUAUUUUAUAUUGUUUAAUACAAUUGAAUUAAAUGGAUCAUAUUUUAAUAUUAAUAUAUAUUUUAAAAUUAGACAUAUUGUAAUCAAAUAUCAUAAUAUUAUAUGUAAUUUAAUAAUAAAUGUACACUUAUAAAAUUCAUAUUUUUAUCGAUGCAUACAAUAUUAUUAUCAAAUAUGAUAAAUCAUGUUAUACAUAUAUCAAAAUUUUCAAUAAAAUAACUUUAAAAUGUCUAUUAUACUUCUAAUUAUAUUAUUAUGAGGUUUUCUUUACAUUUUCAUGAGUUUUAAACAAUUUUAAGCACCAAUAUUUUUUUCCAAAAUAUCCACCGAUAUAUCUCCGAUAUAUCCAAUAUAUCUCCGAUAUCUCCGAUAUAUCCGUAAAAUCGAAGUACCGAUAUAUCCGUGAUUACCGAUAUUUUCAUCAUUGCUUAGAUGCAACCUUCUUCCAAAUGACAUACUUUAGUCAAUACUUAUAUUUUUUCGUUUCACUUCUUUGAUACAACACCUCAUGGAUUUAUUGUUUAAUUUAUUUGUAAUUAUAAAACUAUUUUUCAUUUUUAAUAAGACUUGAAUUAAUUUAAUAAAUAUUAUAUAAUUUGAAUUUAUAAUUCUUUUUAUAAAAUCAAAGUAUAUUAAAAAAAAAACAAUUUAUCCGAAGAAAGUUUUUUAUUUUUUAUUUUUUAAAACCGAUUUUAAAAAUAACUAGCUAGACACCCUUAUUUUGAUAAAAUACGAAAUAAAAGUGUAAAAACAACAUGGCCAAAUAGGGGCUUAAAUUUUAUUUUUAAAACAUUUUUUUACACUAAAGUGCAUUUUAAAAACACCAUCAAAACCAACUACAAGUUAUGCUUCUUCCCGUAAUAGAAAUAUUUUAGGCCAAAAUAGAACCUCCCCAAAUAAAGACCCUAUACUAAACUCCUUUUCAUUUUAUUAAUACAAAAGUGGGGAAAAAAGGUCUAUGCUCACCUAAAAAACAUGAAUAUUGUGAAUUCACCAUUUCUAUAAGGAAGUUGAAAACUUCAAAAUUUUAUCAACAAAUUCUCUAAAAUCCUCAAAAUAUAUAGGGCCUGUUUCACAAAGUUUUUUAAAAUUUGUUUUUAUAAAUUGCUUUUAAAAUAUAGAAUAAAUAACAGUUUUUUAGAUUUUUUGAAAAAUAAGAGUGUUUGGUAAGAUGUUUUUUUUUUUUUUUUUUUUUUUAAGAAUUAAAUAAAAAAUAAAAAAAUUGUUUAGAUAAAAGAAUUUGUAUUGUUUUUAAAAACAAUGUCUUACUUUUAUGUUAUAAAAAUUUUAUUAAUUUAAUUUAUAAUAAUAUGAAAUGAAAUUCAAGUUAAGUCUUAUUAAAAAAUACAAAUUAAAUCUAUAAUUAUGCAUGAGUUAAAGAUAAAUAUAUAUUUUUUAAAACUAUAAAAUAAAUUUUCUAUUAUAGUGAAACAAAAAUUACUAUAAAAUAAAAAUAAUUUUAAUAUUCAUUUUUAAUACAAGUCAAAUAAGUACUUUAAUUAAUUUUUUUUAUCAUGAUUUCUUAUGUUUUUUUUUUUUUCUAGAAAUUAUUUUAAGUAAUAUAACUAAUUUUUUUUUUAAUGUUUUAUAAAAAUAAGGAUAUUUGGCAAGUUGUUUUUAUAAAAGGAUUUUAAAAAUAAAUGGAUUUUUUUUUUUUUUAAAAAAAGAACAAAAUGAUUUGUUUGAAUAAAUUGUUUUGAUUUUGUAAAAACAUUUUAAAUUCAAUUUAUAUAAUAUUAAUUAAUUAAAUUAAAUUGAAGUUUUAUUGAAAAUAAAAAUAAUUUUGUAAUUAAAAUUAGAUUAAAAAAUAUAUAGGUUUUAAUAAAUCGUAAAUAGUAAUAUUAUAAUAAAAUUAUAAAUUAUAUUUUUAACAUAAAAUAUACUAUUUAUUACAUAUUAAAAAAAAUAUUUUAUUAUAUUAAUAAUUUUAUGGUAUUAAUGAGUUUAUUAUUUAAGUUUUAAAUUAUUUUUAAAAAUUAAUAAAUUUGUUAACAAAUGCAAUGUACUAAAUGUGGUUUAAUUUGGAGUUAAUUUGUUUAGGGAAAAAAAUAAAAAAUAAAAAUCUUAUGUAAAAGAGAAAUAAUAGAGUGUGUGUGUUUUUUUUUAUUAUUUUUAAAAAUCAGUAAAAAGAACUUUUACUUAUUGCCUAAAAAUUAUUCUCUAUUUUAUUUUAUUUUUUAAAUCUAGAAAUAGAUAACAAUAAUAAAAAAAAUUAAAAAAGAAAAAUGUUUUUUAAAACUCAGACUUAUAAUUGCUUUUGUUUCUCAUUCGCACCCCUGGAUUCCUGGAUUCUAAACACAAAAUUAAGUUGAAUCGUCCAUCUAUCUUGUAAGCCAAGAAUUCACAUAGAAGAAAUAAUCGGAAUUUGAUUUGAUAUCAGAUUUAGAGUGGCUCACUACUCAUGCAUUGUCCCACAAUAGUAAUGCUUUGGGCCGAGAUAAACCCAUUUGUGGGCCCAAAUAAAACCCCUGGUUUGAAAACAUCGAUUUUACAGUGGCCCAAAAGAUUAUCUAUGAGGGGAAGAUAACUUGGAAGUCAAGCAAACACAUUUAUCGCUAACUUUUCUCUAAUUAUAAAAUUAUAACUUGGUCUUCUACACGUCUCACUUAAGAGGCGGAGCCACUUGGCACUACCUUUCCAUAUUGUAAAAGGAGAAGAAGCAGAAGGAGAAGAUUCUUAUGCCAUUCCACACACCAUGGCUAGUACUGCUAUGCUGCUUGGCCCGCCGGCUCUCCGCCAUCCUAAUUCUCCCGCCGGCACUGUCUUUGAAGAUGGGGUCAUUCUAACGGAUUCCCUGAUCGUCCGCACCAGUAAUCUGGAGCUUUCUGAAAAACCGCCACUGGAAUCCCUGGCGUAGUGCUCUGUCAGUGGGGAUAUUGCUAUGGAUUGUUUGGAUUCCCAAGCCCACAAUCUUCAUCUUCCCGGGAAACCGCCGAUGGGCUUAACGGAAAACAAGUCUCCGACCUUUUUGUCUUCCGGGAACCCGUGCUUGGACUUCUUCUUCCAUGUGGUUCCCGAUACGUCGUCUGAUGAUCUGAUCCGACGGUUUGAGUUGGCUUGGGAAUUCAAUCCGCUGACGACGUUAAAACUGAUAUGCAACUUGAGAGAGGUGAGAGGCACCGGAAAAUCUGACAAAGAGGGUUUCUACACGGCGGUUCUCUGGCUCCACGACCACCAUCCCAAAACCCUAGCCUGCAAUGCUAGGGUGUUGGCCAGCUUCGGUUAUUUCAAGGAUUUUCUCGAGAUUCUCUACCGGCUUCUGGAGGGCCCUAAAAUUCGAAGAAUCGAAAAGAAAGACUGGCUGGAUCGAAAAGGAAGGAAGAAAAAUUCCCGGAAAAGGAACUCAAUAUUCAAGCGAGAAAAUAGGCCUGGAGUUGAAUUUCCUGUAGAAGAGAAGGAUGUGGAGUAUAUGGUGGAAGAAUUUGUGGAUAAAGAAAAGGCUAGGGUACUGAGAAAGGAGAGAGAACUUGCUCUUGCCAAAAGAGCCCUGCACAAGUAUUCUACUGAUUCUAAUUAUCAGUUCUUACAUGAUCAGAUUUCAGAUUUAUUUGCUGAACUUCUGAAAUCUGAUAUUCAGUAUUUAAACUCCGGUGAGCUUUACAAGAUUAGUCUCGCAUCCAAAUGGUGUCCCACAAUUGAUUCUUCUUAUGAUAAAUCCACCUUGAUAUGUGAAAAUAUUGCUCGAAAGGUUUAUUCUCGCGAGGAAUAUAUAUCCAGAAUACCAAGGAAUUGAGGAGGCUCACUAUGUUAAUAGAGUCAGGGAUAGGUUGAGAAAACAAGUACUUGUUCCAUUACGUAAGGCCCUGGAGUUGCCAGAGGUUUUCAUGUGUUCGAACCAGUGGGGAUCACUUCCCUACAACCGUGUGGCUUCAGUGGCCAUGAAAUCAUACAAGAGCCUCUUCUCAAAACAUGAUACAGAGCGGUUUGGUGUGUAUCUUGAGAAAGUGCAAACUGGGAAGGCUAAGAUUGCAGCUGGUGCAUUACUUCCCCAUGAGAUUAUAGCUUCAUUGAAUGAGGAGGAUGGCGAGAAAGUUGCAGAGCUUCAGUGGGCGAGAAUGGUGGAAGAUUUAUCAAAGAAUGGGAGGCUCACAAAUUGCAGUGCGGUAUGUGACGUAUCAGGAAGUAUGAGUGGAACUCCAAUGAAGGUGUGUGUGGCUCUGGGGCUGUUAGUUUCAGAGCUCAGUGAAGAUCCAUGGAAAGGUAAUGUAAUUACUUUCAGUGCAAGUCCUGAGCUUCACAAGAUCCAAGGAGACAGCCUUGUAUCCAAGACUGAAUUUGUGAGGAUGAUGGAAUGGGGUGCGAACACUGAUUUUCAGAAAGUUUUUGACAGAAUCUUACAAGUAGCAGUGGAGGGAAAUCUGAGUGAAGAUCAAAUGAUAAAGAGGGUUUUCGUUUUCACUGAUAUGGAGUUUGAUGAAGCUUGUGGGAGGUAUAACUAUUGUGAAUAUGACUAUGAUAUGGAGGAAAUUGAUGAGAGUCAGAAGGCAUCUCAGAAGUGGGAGACAGAUUAUGAAGUGAUACAGCGGAAAUUCCAGGACAAAGGAUAUGGAAAAGUUCCGGAGAUAGUGUUUUGGAACCUUAGAAACUCAUCAGAGACUCCAGUGAUGGCCACAGAGAACGGGGUGGCCUUAGUAAGCGGGUUUUCGAAGAAUCUGUUAGACCUUGUUUUUGGAAGGAGGUGGAAUUCUGACCCCUCAGGAUGUGAUGGAAUUAGCCAUCUCUGGUGAAGAUUACAAGAAACUUGUUCUAUUUGAUUAAGAUAUCAAGAGAUUUAUCAAUAAUAAUAUGUUUUUUUUUUUCUAUGUGAAAUACAUGUAAUAUUAACUAUGGAGUUAUCAAAGUUCUGGAAAUUUAAUUAUUUCUUCUUUUCAAGUUUUGUUUGUCUUUGUUAGGAAUUCCCCUUGGGCGGACCCAGCUGGGGACUUGGAUUGAGGAAGUAAGGAGGCGAAAUUGUGUUCUUCUAUGGACAGAGAAAAAAGAUAAAAAUAAAAAAUAAAAAAGGAGGUUAUUUGCAUUUGGAUGUCAUGUGGUUUCAGGGUACAACUACAAGUUCGAAAUUGUACAUAAUGUGAAAAUUCCUGUGUGGAGAACAGCAUAAAUAUGUAUCUCAGUGUGUUUUGUUUGAGCUAAUUGGCAAAUUCGCUUUAAACAUGGUCACAUGGAUGCAUAUUUAUUUGUGAAAUGAUAGUAGUCGAUUACUUGGUCAGUAAGGUUUGUAUCUCUAACUCCAACAUCUUAUUGUAGUCUUUUAAAAUGUCAAAAGUUUAAUGCUAGCUUGAGAAAUUUUGGAAUGGAGACAUUCUAAACAAAGUUAAUAAUCCAUGAGACUUGGUAAAACCGAUCAGAUGAUGCUUACGUACAUGAAUGCCUUCUUUAAGCCGUAUCCUAUUUUCAUUGAAUGAGACGUGCCAUCUAGUUUUGUUCUUGUCUUGAUUGGAUCAUGAUCCCGGGAAUUGAUUACUGUUCUGAAUUUGCGAAUGUUCAAGGUAUUAGAGAAAGUUAAUAUUAUCGUUAAUUUACAUAUUAGUAUUUAUCUAGUUAUUAUAUAUUAGUUUGAAUUAUAAUAUAAUAUAGAAUUUGAAUCAAGUUUACUAUUAGUUUGAAUUACAAUAGGAAAUAAAGUUUGAAUUAUAGUAUAACUCAAAUAUAUUUGUAUAUAAAUAUCCAUCUUUAUCAAUGAGAAUAGUAAACCAUAUUUUUCUCUAUCUUCUUCUUUCUCUAUAUAUAUGGUAUCAAAGCCUCCAAAUCCUAAACCUAGUCUCAACUUAGAGCAAAUUUAGGGUGCAGGGUUUAGGCCCCGCCUCCCCCAACCCUUACCACAAAUGGUAGUGACCUUGUUAUGCCUAUGUAUUGUCAAUGCCUCAUUUUCUAUGGUCUUCAAUACAAUAUCUAGUUUCAAUGUCUCUUUCCUUACUAUCUCCAAUGCAAUAUAUUGAUUUCAAUAUCUCUUUACAACCAAGAGCUCCAAAUUUUCCUGGUUCAAAUCUACCAUAAUUUUUAUUCUCCUUUGCUUUUUACCAAUAUUAGUUCCCCUAAUUUAAUAUAUAUCUCUUUAUUACCUUCAACUCUACCUCUCUCUUUCUUUAAAAGCUUCCUCAAAGAUUUGAUUGCUUUCUUGCAUGUUUUGGGAAAACAAACAUGCUCAUAUUCUAUUACCUCUACUUGAGAUCUGCCUUAUACUCUACCUUCUUCUUUACCUCCUAUAUCAUCUACUACAUUAGCUUCAAAAACAUUAUUUAGUUUGAUGCUAAAUAAGGCUCCUAAUCCUACCCUUCCUUCAACUAACUUUCUUUUACAAGUCCCUCAAAGUUUUUUUUUUUUUUUUUUUGGAAAUUUGGCUUAGAAAGAUUUCAUUACUCUUACCUAAUCUUUCAACCAUCAAGUCGAAUCCACUUAUCUCUUGAAUCCAAGGAGACUACCCUCCACAAAAACAAGGAGAUUGACCCCCACAAUAACAAAGAGAUUGUCCUCCAUAGAAACAAAGAGAGCUUCCUUCAUGGAAGCCGAAUACAUCGCAAUCUAUUUUCUUUCUCUCAAGAUCAAAUCUCCAAUCGGAGCUCCAUCUUGUGGGGAUAUAUUAGAAAAAGUUAAUAUUAUCCUUAAUUUACAUAUUAGUAUUUAUCUAUAUUAUAUAUUGAAUUAGAAUAGAAUAUAGAAUUUGAAUUAAGUUUACUAUUAGUUUAAAUUACAAUAGGAAAUAGAGUUUGAAUUAUAGUAGAACUCAAAUAUAUUUAUAUAUAAAUAUCCAUCAUUAUCAAUGAGAAUAGUAUUCCAUAUUUUUCUCUUUCCCUGAGGCUUCAGAAUGUGAUCUUGAACAUUUGAUCUUUUGGAUUCUUCUUGUUUCGGUGGUUUAAUAUAAUGGAAUGUUUAAUUAUAGCCUACUUUAUCACCAUGGAUGUGCUCCUGCAGAUUUCUUGAGGGUGAUGGUUAUUUUGUCAUGUUUCUUGAAUGGUUUGCAUCAGCUGCCUGAGCUGUUGUUGCUGGUCACUUUUGCAACCAGGGAAAGAAUCAUGGCUUUGGAGAAGCCAGCUUCUGUUUUUGUUGCCCAGCUGUUAGUUCACUAAGAUUGGGGGUCCUAACAUGUAUGUAUAAUCAUAAGCAAGGAAAUUUUAUGUCUUACGCUAGAUAGGUACCAUGAUAUGAUGUUUGAUUGAUUUAUUAACUCUACCUGUUUCAAAAGGCAUCAACAUUAAUUUUACCCUUUUAACACAUUGGAUUGUUUGACCUUACGAGAUUUUCUAUUUCUGUACUAUUUGAACUGCAAUCGUUAUGGUCCUUAGGUCUCUAAACCUUCGUUUAAAAUAAAAGUAAGGAGCACACAUAGUAAAAGUUAAUUUUGGGUAACUUUUAAAACAAAGAGAAAAGUAAAAGUUGUUUUUGAGAAAAACAUAUAGAAAUUGAAAGAUUUUUUAUUUUGAGAAAAAAAAGUCAUAGAAAAGAAAUAAUAUCCCCAUAUAAGUAGAUAUGAUCUAUCCGAAGUGUAGCUACUCUCCUGGAUUUAUUCUAACAUUUUAAAAUUUUUCUCAAUGGGCAAAGGAAUAUCAAAUCAAGCUUGAGUAGGAUUAAUUUCUUAAUUUUUAAAAUAACUUAUAAUUAAAAUUUUUUGGUGUUUUCUUUUUUGGACAAUUUUUUAUGAAGACUCUGAAUCAUGCAAGAGAUAUGGUUAUUUUAAAAAAAAAAAUAAUUUAAAACUCAAAUACAUAAUCAAUGUCACAAAUUUAUAAACAAAAGGUUUUUAAAAAAUACUAUUAUUUCCCCUCUACACAUAAUUUUACUUUUCCGAUUUAUUUAUUUUUGUUGGAAAACAGUCUUCAAAUCAAGUAAAAUUAAUAUGUUAAAUUUGUUAAACAAAUAAAUUUUAAAAUACAAUUUGGAACUCAAAAAUCAAUUCAAGUAAUGCUAAAAUUCAAAAAAUCAAAUUUGGAAUAAAAUGACUUUGUAAAUUUUUUUACUAAACAAAUGAAUUUUAAAUCAAGUGAGAUUUAAUACAUUGGAUUUUUAUGAGAAUAGUAAUUUUAAAAAUUAAUUUGGAACUCAAAAAUAGACACAAUAAAUACCAAAAAUCAAUGAACCAAAAUUGGUUUGGAAUAACUCCAUAAUUUUUUAUUUAUUUAUAUAUUUAUUUUUUUGUGCACACGAAUUUCUUACUAAGCAUAUUGCUUCCAAAUUGAGAAAAAUUUACUAUUUAGAUUUUUUUAAUGAGUUUAAUGGUAUUUAAAAAUAAUUCAAAAAUUCGAAAAUUGACUAAUUUAAUAUUAUAAAUUCAUAAACCAAGACUAAUUCAAAAUGCAUUGGGGGCUAAGGGGGUUGAAAUUAAUGCUCCAUUUGGUUGUGGCCACCAAUUGGCAAUGGCCACCAAUCAACCAAUCAAGGUGGCUAAGGGGGUUGAAAAUAGGGACAAUGGGGUGGGUUUGGGACAGGACACUCAUAUCCCAUUCCCAUCCCAAUUACACAGUUAUUUCCCAUCCUUAUUCCAAACUUGUGUUGGGGCAAGUUGAUUUGUUCCCAUCUUUGUUAACGAAAUGACUAAUAACCUCAUCCUCUCCUUGUCUUAGAUGUACAUUUUCUCAAAUUUGGUCAGGUAUGAUUGAUUCAAGCCCUAACCUUAAUUGGUAAUGAGUGGAUACCACACCUAAUUGCAUUCUUCUUUCGUUGCAAAAUAAUGAGAUUAUAAUAAUCUAGCAAAUAAGAAAAAAUAGUAUGGAAGUUCAAAUUAACACCAUAACUAUCAAUAAUUUUAAGCUUAUAGAUGACUUAAAUGAUUGAAAACUAAUGCAAAAUACUAAAAAAAAAAAAAAUCAUCUAAAGAAUUCACAAGAGAAUAGAACGAACAAAACCAAAUAGGAACAUGGGUCAACAUUAGUUACAGAUUUUGAUCCCUUUCAAGGCCAAUCUUUGAACCAAGACUUCAUCAAAUCUACUACUUCAAAGGCUUUUGUGUUCUUCUUGAGUUGUACUCUGGAACAAAGACUUCGAGGUGAUGCUUUAGAUGAUUGCAUUACACAUAUUUAGGGUAGGGAGAUUGGAGAAGCUUGAAGAUGCCAACGAUGGGUACAAUUGAGUGGUCAAUAAGAACAAUGUGGCCUAUGACUAGUUUGAUGUCAUGGUAUAGGAGUUUUGGGCAUUGAGGUGAAAGCAAGAGCAACAUGGAAUUGAUUUCAAAGUCUUUCAAUUAGUGUAAAGGAGGAAGAAGAAGUGGUAUUGAUCCUAGAAAUAGUGUUUUAGGUGUUGCAUUAGAGGAAAAGAAAAAGAAAAAGAAGGAACCAUUGGAAUUAGUACGAGUGUGAAGAGAGAAGUGUAUACAUAAGGGGAAGUAAAAGCAAAGUUCUAAAAAUUUAUUUUUUUAUUGGUGGUGUAUGGUUGCAUGAUUAUCCCUAUAAAUAAUAGGAGUUUUUUGGUGUUCUACUAGUAGUUGAAGGAUAAUUUCAUAAGAUAAUAUUUAGAGCGGGGUGGGGUGAGUUGUGACAAAAUCCAUACCCGUCCCAAACAUUGGUUCAGGUUUUUAAAAUAUUUUCAAACUUAUCAUAUACCCAAUUUUAUAUUUCAUACUUGUCCUAAUAGAGACAGGUUAGUCAGGGUUACUUGAGUAGCCUACAAAACUAUCAUCCCUAGUUGAAAUGCUCUUUUUGGCAGUGGCAGCUAGAAGCUCGAUCGAUUGACCUACAAGACUAGUUGUCAUCAUUUUAAAAAGAGUUUUGGCUUUGGUUGUGAGUGCAAUUGAAUCUAAACUAACAUUUCCUUAAUGCAUCUACUUCAAUCCUAAACUUCUUACUUAAGCCUCAAUUGUUGUUAAGAUUUUGGAAAACCCAUUUCCUUAAAUUGUAAAUUUAAGAAAAAAAAAAUUAAAAGUGAGACAUUUCUUGAUUGAAUGUUGUUAAAGGUCCCUUGGAAUUAAGACUUGGUUGAAGCCUUGGAAGAUUAGCAGAACUCUCAACUUAUGUUUGAACCUUGAGGAGAGUGGACGUAGGCCAAAAUUUUGUCAAACCAUUAUACAAAUUGAGUUUGAAUUCUCAUUUCUUGAUUUCUUAUUUAUUUGCUUUUUCUUAUUAUUACUUGAAUUGUCAUUUGCAUUCAUUAAUGUUAAAAUUGGUUAUAAUUAGCCAACACUAAUUCUCUUUCCCCUUCCCUUAAUUUCUUGGGUGUAAACCUAGGUUGGAUUAACUAGAUUUUAUCAAAUCUAUUAAGAUGGUAAAAGAAUAAUUAUUCUUAACAUACAUAAGAUCAUCUUCAAUCAAAUGACUCAUUGGCUGAUAUGUUGAAUUUGCUUAUUACUUGCAACUCAAAAUUGUGUUCUAGUUGAUAUGUCAAGUCCUGAGUGUAUGGACAUUAAAUUUGUAGUACGUGAUGAGUAUUUAGAUGGUCCAAUUCCAAGAAAGUGAUUGAAAACUAGUUCAAGAAAGGUGCAAAAGGGAAUUGUUUUGGUAUUUUCGUUUUUAUUCUUGAAGGUGGCAGAGCUAAAAUUUGAGAAAUCAAGCAAAACAUACUGAAAUUACAUUGAAAGAAAGAAAAUGGGAGUUAAUGUCUUGCAGUACAUGAUAAGGACUUCAUGCAUGUAGUGUGACCCAUGUCUUGGACUGAUGCCACACUCACGGUUACACUUAUACCCUUAGUUCUCUCUUUACUACCUUAGCUAACCUAGAUCAGGUUAUGAGAUAGGCACCUCACCACACCAUUACUUGCCCAUUAAUUAGUGACAUUUUCAAGCAAUGAGGUAACAUGGUGACACCAAGAGGGUAUAUUCCUCACCCCCAACAAGCCUAGACCUGGUCUAAAAAAAAUGGAGAAAAAUGACGUGUUGUUAUGCAGAAAUAUAGCAACCAUGCCUUCCUCAUUACUUAGAUUCAGAAUGUGAAGGUGAAAUUGAGAAACAGAAACUCUUGAAACCAAAAUGAAAAUUGAUACUUUUACGAAGAAUUACAACAACAUUAGAGGAAGACUACAUUCUUCCUCUUUAUUCCUACAUUUCUACACUACUUCUACUCCACUCCAUAUUUCUACAUACAUCUUUAAUCAGUCUUCCCUCCUUUAUAUAGAGCCAUCUUCACACAAAUUCCGCAAGGUAGAAAAGAGGAAUGAAACUUGGAGCAAGGUUCGACUACUGGCUGUAGCUUGUCAAGGCUGAAAGUGAACUUUUUUUCUUGGCUUUUCUGGGCAUAGGUAGUAACUUGUAGGUUCCUUUUUGGAAUGAAAAUGGUACGGCUAGAACAUGUGGCACUCUCUUGUUGGAUGAUGUGUCAAGCAUGUGGCAGCCAUCUAGUGGAGAUUAUGUCAAUUUUGGGAUGGAGAGUUGGCAUCCAAUUGCAAAGAAAUAUGACAUCUACCAACAUGCAAUGUCAACCUAUGUAGAUCAUAUGAAGAUAGAGAGGAAAAAUAUAGAAAUGGAUAUAUAACUAGAACUAGCUUUUUAUUAAAUGAGACGGAGAGCCAACAAUGAAGGAAAAUCAAAAUUUUUGGCUCAUAUCAAAGAAUUCACAUUGUGUUACCCUAGGUUUUCUUAAAACUUACUUUUAUGAUAAUAAAAAAUCAUUAUUGUUUAAUCCUUUGUUUUAAACGCAUGUUUAGCAGGUUGUAAAAUGUAAAUAUCUUUCGAAAUUCAAAUAUGAAGAUAUGACAUCAUUUCAAGCAAUAUAGUCUCUAGGAAUUAAUGUAAAGCUAAAUUAAGGUGCAAUUAAGUUAGUUCAAUGCAUUAUUUUAAGAAACUUGACCUAUCAAAACCUUGUCUUACUUCAAAGCCUCUUUUUCUUUUCUUCCAACUAACAUUUUAAUAAGUGAUCGCAAAAGUACAAAAUUAGAUGAAAUCCAUUUCAAUGGUUAAAAUGAUCAAAUUCAAACUUUUUCUAAGUAUCUUUUAAAAGCAUCAAUAUUGAAAGACAAUUUUAUAUUUAGUCAAAGCUUGGACAGAGCCAAAAAGCACACAAAAAUUUAUAUUUUCUAGCUCUCUACCUUGGAUGGUCUCUUGAUCCUACUUGGAGAUGUGCAUAAAUAAAAGGAUUUGAAAAUGACAAUUGACUAAGUAUGUAGUCAAUCAAUUACUCAUUGAUUGACUAGUUGAUCAAUUAACUUUGCAACAUCAUAUGCAAUCCUAAUAGCUAGUCAUCUAAUCAACUAGGUAGUAAAUCAAUAGGCCAAAAAUAUGUUUAUAAUGACUAUUUUGUACAAAAACCACUUAUAUAGUUAAAUAUAAUGCAUUUCAUUUAUAAAUCUUCUAAUUCUUGAAUAACAAUCCUAUCAUCCUUUGAAAGUUUUUAUUACACCUUUUCUACAUUUGUUCUAAAACUUAUACAUCACCCUUAAUUGUACCAUGAGAACCUAGCAUUUUUUUUUUUUUUUUUGUAUUUCAUCAAAGUUAGCUCUUGUACUCAUUGUUGUAUUAUUUUUAUUGUAACUUAGAGAGCGAGUGUUUUCAAGUGAGUGAAAUUGACUUGUAAAUAUUGUAAAGAUUCAUUGAUAUGUAUCUCAAACUAGGUGUACAAGUUGAAACAUUUGCUAGUAGAUUUUCUCAAGAUUUAGAAUGAGCUUAAGGCUAUCGAAUUAGGUGGGGUUGCGCCAAACCAUAUCACAUCGUUGUUUGCACCUUUUUUUUCACUCUCUUUUACUUAGUUGCUCUAUAUAUAUUGUCUAGCAAUAUCCUAAAGGCUUGAUGGGCUAGGGAGCAUCCCUCUGAAUGAAAAAUUUUCAUUCAAUUCUUAGUUGUAUUACGCAUAUAUAAAAUGCCUCAUUGUUUUAAUGGUAUUCAGUCGUGGCACCACAGAUAUGGACAUCUAAAUUUUAAAAGUUUGAAACUUUUAGCUAAAGAAAAUAUGGUGCUUUGCCUUUUUGGAAAGCAUGUUGAUGAAAUCCAUGAGAAUUGUAUACUUGGAGAGCAACAUCGAGAUAACUUUUUUUUUUUCUUUUUUUAUAAUGCAUUGUUUGUCCAAAUUCCGUACAAAUUAGGCCACCACAUGUUCAUAAUUCUCCCUUCUUGAAUUUGAAAACUCGGACAAUUUGACAAUGCGACACCUAAGUCCGGUUUUUAAAUGCUAAAGUGAAAGGGCAGGUAUGGACCAUUGAAAUGUGAUAACAACUUUUGGCCUUUUCCUUUUCUCUGUAGCCAUGUUGUCUCUUUUUAAUUUCUUUUGCAUGAUUUUCUUACCUAAACAGAAUCAUAGACUUGUUUAAUCUCUAAGUGGGAUUUCAUCCACCUUAAGCUACUGUAUUAUAUCUCGGUGGAGGACAACCGACAUAGAGCACAUGCAAGUGGGUAUAUGGGACAUGAAAUAUCUUCUUAUAAAGCUUGUUUUGCAGUUAAAUUAAUUGGAUAAGUAGACACUGGCGUUUCUAAAUUUCCCACCUAAGAUAAUGACCUUAUCCUUGACUGCUAGAUACACAAACAAUUAUACCUUCAAAAUCUACUGUGAAGUGCUUCAUGUAUGUGUGAAGUAUUAGAAAUUUCUUUCUUGGCAACUUGUUUUUUUCUUUGCGGUCUACUGAUAGGUUUGACUAAAAUUAUAUUCCCUGUCCUGCUAAUUAAUUUUCACGUGCAUGCUCAAAAGAAGAGUAUGACCUUAGUGCACCAAAAUCACUUUCAAUAAUUUGUGAUAAGUUUUUUUGCAUGACAUUAACCUUAUUCAUUUAGAUAAUGUUUAGUUCUCAUAAAUAUUAAGAAAAUGAAAAUAAAUAUUAAGAAAAAUAUUCUUAUAUUUGAUUGUAUUAUGAAAAAUAUCAUAAAAAAUCAAAUAUAAUUAAAAUUAAUUAAUAAUUUAUAUAUUUUAAAAUUAUUUAAUUUUUAUAUUAAAGAUAUAAUAUAAAUGAAAUGAGUUUUAAGUAUUAUAUAAAAAUGAUUUAUUUAUUUAUUUAUAUAUAUAUAUAUAUAUAUAUUUAGUUUUUCUCUUUAUUUUAUUUUCCUUAUGUUUUCCUCACAUUUUCCGGAAUCAAAGAUAGGGAAAUCCACAAUUACCUUCAACUGAGUAGAUUCUAUUGUUUUAGCAAUGUUAGGCUGCUAACUUGUGGUGGUACGAACCAAAUGAUCCAUGUUAAUCUUGGCUUGAUUUAAUUUGGCUCUAUCUCAGAGAACUCAAGGAUCACGUCAACUCUGGUUUCUACUAUUCAGGUCCAUUCCCAGAUGAACUGGUUCAAAUUUGAGAAAAUGGUAACAGACCUUUAGUGAUAUUGGUUUGGAGCCAGUUGCCAAACCUGCCCUGAGCUUUACCACUAAUGUCAAGGGACAAAGCCAUUUGAACAAAAACAAUAGCUUCAAGAGACUGAAUCGUGGAUGAAAUCUGAUCCACAUUUCUUCUCAUUUUGGGAAAAAAUGAGGACUUAACCACAAAGAUUCUACUGCCUCAUAGUGCUUUUCCUGAUCUAAGGUUGGCUCGUUUCCCAAAUUGUGAGGUGCACGUGCCACUCUCACGCUCAGGAGUGUAUCCACGUGGUGGACAUAAGAUGGUGGCUUAAUAUCUGGUGUCGGUGGCUUUACUUUACUAGGAGAGUAGUGUGUCUUCAUCUCAUUCACUGCCAGAGGGUGGCGUAAGCAGUGACGCUAAGGUGGGGCACAGUCAAUAUCAUUUGCAUUUGACCAUUAUAAUUUUCUCCCGGCUUUAAAGUAACCUUAUCGUGAUAAUGGAUUACUAGCACUAGUUCAGAUGACAGUCAUGUUAAAUUCGGACCAUGUUUGUGUCACAUUAUCAGCAACCAUGUGCUUGUGGUUCAUGCUAUCUGCAACUAAACUUGAUAUAUAACCAGGUGAACUUCAAUCUAAAUUCUGGAAGUACUCAUGUGAUAGAUGGUGCCUGUCUGCAGUGAGUGUAUCUAUAAGAGGGAAGGCUUGGCAAAUGUUCAGUUUUCUGGGAAUUCAACAGGGAUCUAAAAUAGAUUGUUUUCUUUGCUGAUUUCAAUGGUUGAAAUUUGAGAAGAUUGUGUCCACAUAACACAACUAUUACUGGUCCUUCUGUUGCAAUUUAUCCUCUAAGGCUCUAACAUGUCUUCCAAUUCCCACUUCCCACUUCCCUGUUACUCCAGGAAAGCUGUUUCUGUCAUUGUGAAGAAGAAAAGAGACUGUACAUAUCGAUGCUUUUAAGUGGACUGGAGAAUUCAUAUCAGGUGGUCUGCAGCCAUACAUGCCACUUUGUGAAGGUUGGAACAGUCAAUCACUAGGCUAUAUUAGUGGGGCCCAGCCACUUCAAUCAAGGACAAGUCUUCAUACUUAAAGUCAAAUUCUGCCUUUAGUCUCAUUAUAAAUUGCUGUUUAAAUAUCAAGCAAACAUUUGUUUAAUGCGAUUAAGACAGCACUAACUCAAUACUUGUUCUAUUUUUGGAUGCAAAUGCUUGAUAGUUUCAUCAUUGGAGGGGAUAAAGGUGCAUUCAUGAUUAUGAAUACUUGUAGUUAUAUUUUCAUUCUCUUUUUUCUCAAUGGGACUUGUUGGCACAAUUUUGCUGUUCAGAAACCUACCUCUCCAUGGAAAAUCAGUUGUGAUUGAUAUUACUGGAUAUAUUCAAGAAAGCUAAAUGUAGAUAGCACAAAAUAUUAUCGACAUAAAUAGCAUUAACAGCGUACGUAUGUCUCAAUGCUCAUCAGCUAUAAGCAAGGGGCAAACACUUACUAUGAGCAACUUACGUCAAAAUUCCGGAAUAGGACAUAGAAGUGACAGGUCAGUAAAUAUAGAACACUGCAUAUGAGUCACAAGAAAGGAAAUUACGGGUACAUAGCAGCUCUUAUUUUACAUCCUACUCAUACUGAUCAAAGUCACUCAGUUGGGAUGGGUGGGAGUGGGAGGUUUGUGGGGUGGCUUGUGCGGAGGAGUUGGCAGCUUCUUUCCAGGACCUGGUUGCUUCUCUGCUGGAGUUGAAGGAGGCUUAAUCUUCCGAGGUGGCUUGUAUGAGUCUUCAGCAUUCUCAGCAGGAGGGUGACCAGGGUUGUGACCACAAUGUGGUGGCUUCUCUCCCUUAGGUGGUUUGCCAACUGGGGUUGGUGGCUUGUGUUCCGGAAGUGGCUUCUCUUUGUGUUCAGGAGGUGGCUUCUCCACUGGAGGCUUGUGUUCAGGAGGUGGCUUCUCCACCGGAGGCUUGUGUUCAGGAGGUGGCUUCUCCACCGGAGGCUUGUGUUCAGGAGGUGGCUUCUCCACCGGAGGCUUAUGCUCUGGUGGUGGCUUCUCCACCGGAGGCUUAUGCUCUGGUGGUGGCUUCUCCACCGGAGGCUUAUGCAAUGGUGGUGGCUUCUCCACCGGAGGCUUGUGUUCAGGAGGUGGCUUCUCUACCGGAGGCUUAUGCUCUGGUGGUGGCUUCUCCACCGGAGGCUUAUGCUCUGGUGGUGGCUUCUCCACCGGAGGCUUGUGUUCAGGAGGUGGCUUCUCCACCGGAGGCUUGUGUUCAGGAGGUGGCUUCUCCACCGGAGGCUUGUGCUCUGGUGGUGGCUUCUCCACCGGAGGCUUAUGCUCUGGUGGUGGCUUCUCCACCGGAGGCUUGUGUUCAGGAGGUGGCUUCUCCACCGGAGGCUUAUGCUCUGGUGGUGGCUUCUCCACCGGAGGCUUGUGUUCAGGAGGUGGCUUCUCCACCGGAGGCUUAUGCUCUGGUGGUGGCUUCUCCACAGGAGGCUUGUGUUCAGGAGGUGGCUUCUCCACCGGAGGCUUAUGCUCUGGUGGUGGCUUCUCGAAUGGGGGAUGCGUAGGGUAAUCAGCUAGUGAGGGGGCGGUGAGAACCACCAGGCCAAGCAACACUACUAGCAAGUAUGUAGGAGACAUCUUUGGGUUUGGGCUCAGAUGGUGCAAAACUAGGAGAAUUGGCUAGCCUUUUAUAGCGGAUCGUACCCAAUAAUGAAAUGACACGUGUCAUUAUGACCCAUGUGUCAUGUGGUCGAUUUGGGUCCUACAGUGUUGAAAACUUCGACAUCCACUUUUUUGGCCUUUUGCUUUCUCUACAGUCGCCUUGCUUUUUCCCUCUUUUCUUUUGUUUUCCUCCUGCCCCAUUCUAUCAACUAAUCACAAUUAUGUAGUUGUUUAAUUCUUAAAUGAGAUAUUAUCCGUCAAUCAUAUUAUCUUUUAUCAAGAGAGAACGGAGUGAAAAGUGGCAAUCCAAAGAAAGAAGAUCCAUAAUGCAGCUGUAAUUUUAUCGUUUACUUUUAUCUCUAGGACCACUGCAUUUUUGUUGAGAGGUGCAAUAAUACACGUCUUUAUCUGCCAUUCAAUGUUUACAGUAAAGAGAGGGCACAAAACUCUUCACUGCUCUGCAUGUGCCCCAAAAAUGCAAUUGGACAAAUUAUGAUUUGCAUGCUAAAAAGAGGCAAAUGAGGUUAAUUAGCACCAAAAUUAUUUUGUUUUCUGGACACCCCGGGGCCCUUUGGUUGGUUUGGGGGUCAGAAAAUGAACAUCAUAGGGGGUUUUUCCCUAAUGUGCAUUUGCAUUUGUAUCUGAUGGCUUUAACUCGCCUUGUUACUACAAAGAAAUUGUCACAGAUAGGAACUUAUUCCAGGCUGAGUAUCUCCGCAUGGACCCUAUAAAAGAAGACAAGUCAUAAUGAACAUCUAACCUUUGUUCAAUUUGAUUCAAUGCCCCUAUUGUGUCCAUCUCACAAAUCUGAAUUAUUAUAUCCAUUGAAUACAUAAAUUAAUGAAGAAAAUAUGAAACCCAAGAUACAUCUCUGCACAACCUCAACCCUGGUUGCUAUGUUUCACUUCUAUUCACAUGAGGAUAUUGAUUACGGAAUAAGGAAACCUAGCAAGGGUUUACUCGGCUCUGGUUUGAUGCUAAUUGCCAAACUUGCAACAAGCCCUGAGUUUGACACCUAAUCGAUGGGCGAAUUAAAAGUCUCCUCCAAACAUAUAUUCCACAGCUUGAAGCUCACAGAAGAUGCUAUACAGGCAGGGAAAAACCUUCAGAGUUAGCUACCAAAGAUAAUUAUCAAGGAGAUAUCACCAAGAGAAUUCCAUGGAGUCUGAAUCAAAGACAAAUUGCUCGCUCGUGGGGGUUCUUACUUAAUUUCUUUUGGGUAUAACUCACUGAGGGCACUGGCUUUGUUAUUUGCAUUUCGCAUUUAGAGUUCUGUUCUGGAAGGUUUGUUCUGGAAACAUAUAAAAGGAGCAUCAUUUUGUUCUAGGGUAACCCAUAGUUGUGAGUGGGUCCAUUUGCAUGCUACUUAGUUGAAAAGUUGGACAAUUUGCUCCGACGCCUACCUCCUGGAUUCCAUGCUCGGAUAAAGCAAGAAUAAUAAAAUAUUUAUAAUUUACAAAUGGGGGAAAGAAAAAAAUGUCAACAACAAACUAGGAAAAAAGAGUAGUAAAAUUUAUGCCACAUGCUAUUGAUAGAAGGGGCAUGUAUUAGAUCCAUCACCAUUUGGUAAGAUUUUAGUAUUAUAUUUUUCAAGGUUCAUUAUUUGAGGGUGUGUUCUUCAUCUCUGUUGCAUUGCUUCUUACUAGGCCCACUGAGGUGGGUUCUUCACCUUUUGUAUAUUCUCUGCACUAGAUCAAUGAGAAAGGGGGAAUUUUGGUGAAUUUGCAGCCGUUGGAUGAUUGAUUCUAGGCUCAGUCCACCAAUGAUGCUCUCUUCACUCUUUCUCAUCUAGUGUCAUUCACAACUAUGUUUUGAUUCAUAUUUGUACUAUCAAAGAUAUCUCAUUAUUCUAGCUCAUUAGGUAGAGUUCCUAAUCUUCCUCCUUUUUGGUCUAUGGACAGUAUUGGCUUCAUAUUAAGAUCAUGUUUCAAUAAUUGCACAUUAAUGAAUGGAUCAUGACCCACAUAAACAGAGUCAGGGUUGAGUCAGUGAACCCUAAAAUUUCACAAUUCUAAAUUUGGGUUCUUUAACAAUGCAGGGUCAAGGACGCGUGGUGAUGAAGGAAAGCUGGUAAGCUCAGUGUUACUUCAAUUCCUGCCAUGUAGGAUGGUGAGGAGAUAUUCACUAUGCAAUUAAUAAUAGACAAUAUUCACUAUGCAAUAAUAAAGCAUAAAUUAAGUUGAAUGAAAAGCAUUUUCUUUGCAAGGAGUUGAUUUUGGUUUCAUAGUUUGUUCAACUGCUAUUUUGGAUAGGAAAGUGUGAGGAGAAGAAAAUAAAAAAUAAAAAUAAAACAAAAAAUAAAAAAUAGAUUUUAUAAAUUCAUUUAAUUUAUUUUUUUUUUAUAAAAAUUAACUAAUUUAAAAUAUAUGUAAAUUUCUAAUUAAUUUAAUUACAUUUUUUUUUUCAGUUUUUCAUAAUAAACCAAAUAUUAGAAAAUUAUUUUUAUUAAGACACCCAAGAUGAGGUAAUAUGCAAUGAAAACAUGAAUUAUAUUAAAAUUCAAAACAAAUUAAGAGAAAUCGGAAAAUAUACAUAGAUAUCUAAACAAAGAAAUUUAAAGAGAAGGAACCACAAACUUUAUUUACAUAAUUUGAAAAUAAAAAACAUAAAACAUACUUAUAGUAAGGAGAAAUUGAAUAUCUUACAAUGGAAGAAGGGAGAAAAGCUUUGAAGAAAGCUUUUGCUUGGAAGCUUACAUGGUGAGAGGUAGAGAAAGGAGAGAGAGAGAAGAAAAUGAAAAAUGAGAAGUGGAGAAAAUUGGAAGUUUUGUGUGCUUACAACUGAGGAUAGAGCCUCCUUAAAUAGCAAAAAAUGGAAUAUUAAAUAGUACCAAUCAGGAGACAAAAUAUUGUUUGCUUUUGAAACCCGUGCAUGAAUAGUAAUCCCGUGAGUGAAUAGUGAAUAAUAAAAGUGAAUAGUAAAAGUCACUUUCUACUAUAGCACUUUAGACUUUUUCAUCGAGAAUCUUACUUUCGGCUGAGUGAUGAUAGCUGAUAGGUUGCUUUGGAUUGUGGAGUCAUAUGUUUGAUGUUUUCGGUGCUGAAACCGCUUAGUUGGAGAAUAAUCUCGUCAGUAGAGCAUCAUGAGAAGCUUGAAUGGAGAGAGCUUAAUGAUGCCAUAUGAUUGGAAGGAAUCCUAUUUUAAUUUCCUUAUUGGAGGGAGAAUACCCUCACAAUCAUCUUCAUUAUCUUGAAGGUAGUUUGAUAUAGAGUCAUCUGACUCAGCAUAAGAGUCCUCUUGGGAGAAGCUUGAACUGCUUUUGUCAAGGAUUUUCUGAAAUUCUUGAGGGGUUUUUGCUAUUGCUAACAUGGUUUGGAGUUGCUGUUUCUUAAGAAGAAACUGUGCAAUAUCAUAAGAUGAUGAAGCUUGUGUAGGAUGCUUUAGGAAAUAUUGCUUUAUUGCUUGUAGUGAGGUAUCAUUUUUCAAGGCAUCCCACCACUUAGACUUGAAAGUCCUUCCAAGGGUUGGAAAGGCUGCUGAUUCAUCUGCUAUAAUGAUAUAAUCCCACUGGACUAUCCAGGCAAGGCCAAAUUCACUAAAAAAGAAUAAUAAUUGGGGAAAACUGAAAGUUCUCUAGGGAUAACAAAAGAACUUUGGAAUAGCUCAAAGCCAUCCAAAAUGGGUUUUGGGAGAAUUUUAAUAGUUGGACCAAAAUAUGUCCACCAAUUGUGGAACCAAAAUGGAAAAGAGGGGAGUUGAUGCUUAGAUGGGAAAUAGAACAUCCCUGAAUGAUGGAAGUCCUUGUUCUGGAUCAGAAAAGCAUUGAACCAUACUCUUUGGUAGUCUCAAUAAUUGAAAAUUUUAGGUUUUGAAGGCUUAGAAAAUUCUCUUGAAAAAUUAGGAUUCCCACCCCACUGCUUAACUGUAAGGAUUUUAUAAAUAUGGUAAGUGGAGAAUGCCAAAUCCAAAUUGCUGAAUUUAUCAGCAUUGUGCUUGAUUUUAACAGAGCCGGUUUCCAUAAGGAUUGCUUCAUAAAAUUCUCUUGUUUUUAAAAGAUCACCAAAGGGAUAAUGAAAAUUUUCAUGAAAAGCUUUUGCUGCAAUAUCUCUAGGGUUUUUAGAGAAAAACUCUUUUUCAAUAACCAAAAGAGGUUGAUUUAAAUCUUUUUGCCAAUAUCUUGCUUUUGCUGAAAGAGGUGUGGGGUUGGCUACCACCACAAUUUGCUUAUUUGAAAAAGAAGAGCUUGAUGCUAAUUCAUUUUGAGAGGGAUUAGCUUUAGUAACCUGCUUAAAGGUCUGAGACACAGUAAUAGUUGGAUACUGAGUAGCCUUGACUGGUUUAGAAGGAUUCGAAGGAUCAUAGUACAAGGACAAAAUCUUAUUAGGCAUAUGGUCAGAAGAAUGAAGCCUUGCUUCUUCUUCUAGCUCAACUUGUUGGCUCCAAAGUAUUUUAUGGGGAGAAGGUUCUUUGCUGGUUUUAGAAGACUAGGAUUCUGGAAGUUUAGGAGCUUGGGUAUUCUUUUUAGGGGCCAUGGUUUCGUGAAUCCUGUAAAAUUCACAAGUUAAGAAAUCAGGGCUCGAAGAAUGUUCUCCUUUAAUAUACUCAAUUUGUAAAUUAAAAUUGCUUAAAAUAGCUUGAUAUAUAGCAAAAAUAUGCUUAGAAGUUAUAUUCUUAACAUCCUUUUGUAAAACUAAUUUUGCAAAUUUACAAUCAACUCUUAAUAAAAACUUUUGAUUCAAAAGAUCAUCUUGAAAUUUUGAAAUGCAUAAAACAACGCUUAAAGUCUCUUUUUUAAUGAUGUUAUGAAUGAGUUGGGUAGUAUUCCAGGUUCUUGAAGUAUACCUAACUAACAUCUCAAGGUUACCAACACUUUGCUUAAGAAUCCCACCAUAACCUAUGUCUGAGGUAUCGAUCCCAACAAACUCAAAGGUUUCUGGAUUGAUAGAGCCUAAACAUGGUAGGGUCUUGACUUUGGACUUAACAUCAAUAAUGAAAACAAUGGUGAAAACAGAAAACUGGUUAAAGUUUUCAUCCAUUAUAUUCUGGAAUUCUGAGGUGCAUUCUUAAGAUCAAAGGGCAUUAUGAACCAUUCAUAAUGUCCAAGAGAUACCACAAAGGUGGUCUUAUUUGGAAUAGGACACCUAAUCCAACUUAAUGUAUCAUUAAGAGGCAUGUAGUUGACGACUAGUCUAGGUGUUCCUUUUUCUGAUUCAACUUGUUCCUGAACAUAGAAGGUUGAACAACUCCAAAGGGACUUAGACUUCCUUAUCAACUUUUUAUCAAGAAGAUCCCAAAUCUCCUUAUCACAAUAGCUUAACAAACCCUUGUUCAUCUGGAUAGGUCUUGAUUUAGUGGGAAUAUUCUUGUCACUAAAGUCUAGUUCAUAAGGUAAUUCUACCUCAUGUUGUUUCCUAUGCCAAAAUGCAUUAGGAAUGUUAGAGCAAACUUCUUCAACAAUCAGAUUAAUUUCUUGCUCAUGACUUUCCUUAGCUUGAAUCACCUGAUCCCUUAAGGUGUUUAUAUUUUUCUUAUUAGGUGGUUGGCAAAUUCAAAAAUAAUUUCCUUAUCUAAGAGCUUUGUUCUUAUACUUUGGUCAUCUACCCACAUGGGAUAGAUGGAGCUUAAAAAGGGGAUUCCAAGGAGAGCUUUCUCCUUAAGAUCCUUAACUAGAAUGAAGGUUUGCUUGAUGCAAAUGCCUUGGUUAUUUAUGUGAGCAUCUGACAGCUUAUACUCAAUGUCAAGCCUUUUACCAUUAGCUCCAAAGAGAGAUUCUUUGGUUUUCUUACAAAACUUAAUAGGACCUAGACCUUCUUGUAGGCAAUUCAAAGCUGUUCCUGAAUCAAUCAAAGCAACAAUAUCAAUGACAAAUUUACUCUUAAUUACUAUAGUAAGGGAGACUUUCCACCUCUGGAAAAUAACCCUACUAACAGUAUUUAAGUAUCCAUCCGUCUUUUCAUCAUUAGCAUGUGAAGAUUCUAGAACCUCUUCAAGGUUUUCCUAGUUAUCAACAAGAUUUUCUAUAACAAUCCUAUUUAUUUGUUCUUGGAGAUCUGAAAAACCUAAGCUUGUGUAUUGUCUUAAAUCUUUAAUUUCCUUCUUAUACUGUCUUACUUCUUCUUGAAGAUCCUUAAUGGUUACGUCUUUGGUAGACUACUGGUUAAAUCUUCCUAAGAUUUCAUUUAAGUUAUAAGAAUUUACUGUCUUCUUAAUCUCUUGCUUAUCGACAAAUUUCUUAAAAACUUCAUAAAGAUCUUGUUUAGUUUUUUCAUCUUCAACUUUCCUUAAAACAUCUAGGACAAGUUCUUGAUCUUGGCUUAUGACAUUUAUAGUCUUAGGUUGGCAAUCACAAUUAUCCUUAAUGUAUUCUUCUUGGUCACUAGAAGUUUGGCUUGAGAUUUCCUCACCACUACUAUCUAGUUGGUUAAUACCAUUUUCAUUAUCUGAAUCAAUCCUUGAUUCAGACUCUGUGGAAUUUAACAUUACUUUACAAAGCAUAUCUUUUAAGUCUUCUGUGACAUUUAAGUUAUUAAUUUUCUGCUUAACCCUACAAUCUUUCUUAUAGUGGCCUAUCUUACCACACUUAAAACAAACUGGCUUAGAUUGUGAAGGAGCUUCUAGCUUUUUAUGGGCUUCUUUGUUCAUCAUUCUUUGGAUGUGCCUUUGUUUCUUAGUUUCAUUCAUCCUAUAGUUGCCAUGAGUUCCUCUCUUGUUGUGAUAGGACUUUUCCUUACUAGGCUUUGUACUUACUUGUUUCUUACGUUGCUUAGAGGGGGGCUUAGUUUCUUUUUGGUUGAAUCCAAACUAGCUACAAAAUGAACCAAACUCAUUCUUGUAGAUCCUUUGUUCAUUUUUCAUCUGUUGCUUAAGCUUAAAGUCAUUGCACAGUUUAAUUGCUUCUGAUGUGACAAUGCUUAUAAUUUCUCCAUAAGAAAGCUUAUCAUAAGGGAUUUGUCCAUUAAACUGUUCCCUUAUCUUAAUCCUAAUCCUCUCAGAGAAAAGUCUAGGUAGUCCUAAGAUGAAUUUUUCUUUCCAAAAAGACUGGUUAUAGUUUGAUCUUAGUAUGACUUUGGUUAGGAAAACUUCUCUAUACCAUCUAAAGUCAUGAAGCUUGGGACACUUAAGGUUGGUUAAGAGAUCUACAAUCUUAUCCUUAAUCUUUGCAGGAUCUCCAAUGAAGUGCUUUGAAAUUGAAUAGAUUAGAGUAGCCACUACAUCCUCUAUAUCUUGUCCAUCUUCAUCCUUAACCACUUCAUUUUCCUCAUUAAUCCUAUAGGCUUUUAGGAUACCAUUUCUAUCCUCAAAGGUGAGAUAAUUAUCCCACCAACCCUAAAGUUGACCUGUAAACCCAACAACAAUUGUUUGAGCUACAGCAUGGCCUGACAAUCUAUUGUUUAACUUAUAGGUUGUACUAACCAUGGUCAUUUCUUGAAGCUUAGUGAGUAUGUUGUACUCAAUCAUACCAUCUAUGUUCCAUUCAUAGAUAGUGUCACUAGUGUAGGAAGCUUGAGUAUGCUGGUUUCUUUCCUCAUACUACAUAUCAGGAAAAGUUGGUCUAGGGUAGUAAUUCCUAGUUCUUGGUUGUUGAUAAUCCUCAUAACUGUUUGGUUAGGAGGUUCCUUAAAAAUCUUAAUUAGUUCAUCAGCCUCUGCUUCAGAACUAAUUUCUCCUUUAACCAUAUUGAUUCUCUUGUGAGAUGGUUGAGGUGUCUCAGAGACAACAAGGCUAUCCUUAACCUUUUGGCUUAUCCUAUCAAUGAGGGCUUGAUCAAUAUGGAGAUUCUCUAGGAAUUUCUUAGAGAAUUCAAAAGGCUUAAAUAAAGACUUAUUAUCUUUCUUAACAAACGUAGUCUUAAUGUAGUCUUGUGUUUCAAUGAUAUCCUCAAACUUGUUGAGUUGAUCGCCUGUAGUCUUAAGAAACAUGUUAGUGUAGUUGUUUUGUUCCAUGAUUCUUCUAACGUCAACAACACUAUCAAUUCCUUUAUUCUUUGGCCUAGUCUUAAAAGGUGAAGCUUUGACUAUGGUUCAAUUAAUGUUCUUUUAUAUCUUAGCUUCUAGAGGGUGGAUGGAUUCUAUGAUAGUAUCGUCACUAGUUUUCCAUAUCUUAGUUUUUUUGGAUGUGUCAUUGACACGCUUACUAGGGUAAUCUAGAUAUUCCUCUUGUUUGAAGAGUUCAAACCAGAUCCAAUACUUAAUGUUCUUCUUUUCUUGUCUUAAGUAUGUGUAGAAUUCUUCUUGGUAGAGGGUUCUAAUGUCUUUAAGGACCUUGCUAAAGAACCAAACUCUCCUUUUCUUAUUGACUUCAGAAUAGAAGUCUUUCCUUAAGAGGUCCUUGUUGAUUCAAAGUCUUCGUUAAUUAGGCUUACAGUGUUAAUCAACUGAGAAUAAGUAGGAGACAUAUCAGGAGAUUCGUCCUGAUGUGAUUCUUGAGUAAACUCAUUUUCCUCCAUGUAAAAGGGUUUGGCCACGUUGGUGUGACUUCUAACACCUGUUAGCUUAAUAUUCUUAGGAUUUGCUGAACUAGAUCCUUCCUCUAUCCUAGUGGUUCUUAUUGGGAUAGAUGAACUUGAAGCUCUAGAGGGCUCAUAAUAUGAAAUUCUAAGGCUGCUAGAAUGAUGAAAAGAGUUGGAGAAAAUUAGAUCUCGUUCUCCAUCAGGAUAUUGAACAAUCUGUUCAAUUCUUUCAGAUCUUUGCUCUAUGGCUGGGACAACAUUAGCAAAAUGCCAAUUUUCUGGAAACUCAACCUCAUUCCACUUGAUUUUCAUGGGGACUAUGAAAUUAGACUUGUUUAUCAUAUCUAAGUGGAAGAUAGUGGUUUCACCCUUGGGACUGGUGCACAAUGCUCCAAAUCCAACGCUUAUGGUCAUGCUCUUAUAGGCAAAUCUGGUGAUGAUGGAAACAUGAUUGUUUCCUUGCUUGAACUUAAAGUCAUGGGUCUUAACAUGAAGGACAACUGAAUCUAAGAUGUUGACAUCUCUUAGUCUAACUGUGAAGUUAGGGAAACACUGGAAAUAAACAGGACCAUCAUUUAAUCCUGCUUGGGUAGCUCCAAUAAUAGAAUCUCGGUAAUCAAGAUGUCUAUUAUCUCUUAAACACAUGACAAUAAAGGUGUUUAGACCUAGUCUUGUCAAGGGCUUAGCUGCAACUUGAAUCAUGCCAAAGUGUAUGAAGUUGUAGUCUCGCUUAUGCUUAUCAAUGGACUUACUAUCCAAGAGUCUUAUGACUUGAUCGUCGUGUUCUAAACUUACUGACAUUUCAGGGGUUUUAAUGGUGUAAUCUGUAAAGAACUUAAAGGUUCCUUUCUUAUAAAUUUCUUGAUUAGGUACCUUGGGUAACUUCCAAUCAUCUAAAUCAUCUUGGAUCUUAGGAUAAUUGAUCUCUUCAUUGUUUACUCUUGAGAAUUUGUGGAUUUCCUAGACAUGGUUCUGAAAAUCAAACUCAUUUUAAGGUUUUAAUCUAGAGCCUAAUAGCAGAUUAACAGACCUAGUGAGUAAUCACCCCAACCCUUUUCCAACCUUAACAAACGCCUAUCUCCAGCUAACAAUGGGCUCAACUCGGCAAGGAUCGCACUCAGGCACACUACUAUCUUUCCUAGGAUAGAUCAAAACACCCAAAACAAACCCGACUUCCUUUUCCUAGGAUAUAUAUAGUAUUUUGGGUUUGAGUAGGAGUUCAUGUUUUGUAUGUAAUUGUAGUCUACGUUGGACUAGGUUGUUUGCUCCUAAUUGAAAUAGGAAUGGUUGGUGUCACAUCUCAUUCAUUUUCUCAUCUAUUUCCAUGUUUAGAUAACUCAAGUAAUCAUAGGAAUGAAAUUAAGAAUGAUUUGAGGGAAAUGAAAUCUCACUUGUAAGUGGGAUCUCAAUUCAUCAUUAAUAGAAGGUAUUUUGAUUACAUAGUGCAAGUUAUUUUUAAAAACACUUUUCAAAAAUUGAAAAACCAAAAACUCUCUUGGAUAAGUUGUUUUUAAAAAGAAUUUUUGUAUUUUUAUUUUGUAAAAAAAAAAAAUAGUAAUUCAAUUUAUAUAAUAUAAAUAGACUUUAAUUUUAUUAAAAAUAAAAAUAAUUUUUUAAUUACAAAUAAAUUAAAAAAUAAAUAUUUGUAAUAAAAUAUGAAUAGUAAUAUUAUAAUAAAAUCAUAAAUAAAUUAAAAAUAUUUUUAAAAACAAAUAAGUUUAAUUUUUUUGAGGUACAAAUGAGCCAAAUUUUUCAUUAGGUACACAACCAACAAUUUUUAUUGGAAACAUUCCUCAAAAAAGAAUUCGUUUCCCAUAUAGCAAAGAUAUUUAUUAUUUAGUAUCUAACCAUCCGUAGUAAUCAUAUCAAUUCUACUAAGUUAUUUAAUAAUUCAUUUAUAUAUAGUACUCAAUUAUGAAUUUUUUUAUUUGAUGUAUAAUUAAUUAAUCAAUGUUUUGAAUUUUGAAUUAUUCUUAAAAUUUAAAACAUUAAUUAUGUCUAUUACUUUUUAUAGUCAUUAUAUAUAUAUAUAUAUAUAUAUAUAGAGAGAGAGAGAGAGAGAGAGAGAGAGAGCUUAAAUUUAUCUUUAAAAAUUAUUAAAUUUAUUAAUAAAUUCAAUACAAAGACUCAUUUGAUUUGAAAUUCAUUUCUUUAGUGAAAAUUUUGAAACUAAAUAGUACUUUGUUUUACUUUGUUUUUAAAUCAUACUCACAAAUAAGUUUUUAUCAUUUAGCCAAAAAAUCUCAAAGAUGUUUCUAAUUUUAUUUAUUUAUUUAUUUGUAAAUGAAAAUAAAAAAUUAGUUUAAACUAAAUAUGCGGAUAUUAUUGUUAAUUUAUUUCAUUUUUUAUUUCCAUUGUUAUUUAACAUUGAAACGGAAACAAAUAAUCAUUCCAAUCUUACAUUCUUAUAUGCAUCUAAACACAAGAAUUGAAAUCACCAAAUUCAUAUUCAAGGCAAAAUAGAAAUGGAAAAAAAAUAUUCAUUUUCAUUCCUCAUUCUCAUGUGCUAAACAUGACAUUAGUUCUACUACCUAUUUCACCAUUCUUCUUGAUAAAUUUGGUAUAUGCAAUAUUGAUCUAAGUGUGAGGUGAAUAAGAAUGAUGAUGGGAUGGGCUUGGAAAUAAGGGCAAAGUUUCUAGGUGCUAUCUAGAGGGGCAACGCGACUUUUUCAAAUUUCGAAUAUUUGUUCUCAACAUAAAGCAAAACUUUACUCACACAAUAGAUAAGACUCUGUUUGUUUUCUUCAUCCACGACUAUAUAAUGUAUAGCUCUUACUCAAGGGAUGAGCUACUUACUAUUAAGGAUUGGGUAAGAUAUUGCCUAAUGGCCAAGAAGGCAUGUCAAAAAAUAAAUCUAAUCACCAUAAAAAAUAAUAGGGGAAAAUUAAUAUAUUAUGAAUGAUGACUUUACUAUUUCUCUAUAUACAUAAUUAUAUAUUUUGAAUUUUCUCACUAGGUAAUGAGAUUCUAAAUCAACUGAAACAUAAUUAAUAAUUUAUAUUUUUAAUGAAUCUUUUAAUUUUUAAAAAUAAUUUAAAAUUUUAAAAAACAAUUCAAUUAAUUACAUAUUAAAUCAAAACAUUUCAAAAUAUUGUGUUUGUAGAUGAGUACUAAAUGCUUGCAUAUAAUAAUAAUAAUAAAAAAAUUGACUCAUUUAGAUGUUAAAAAAGUUAAAUGUUUUUCAUUAUUCAUUUUAAGUAAAAUAUUAUUGACAUUAUUAUUAUAAAAUUAUUAUUAUUCAUUUUUAACAAAAAACAAAAUAAGUUAUUCUUUUACCAAGAUGUCAAUAUCUAUAUUUUUCUAACAUAUAUUAAAAUAGUAUACUUUUCUUUUAUUAAAAAUAAUAAUUAUUAUUAUAUUAUUAUUCAAGUUUUAUUAAAAAAAUUUAUCUUUUAAUUCAUUUGUAAUUACAAAAUAAUUUUAUUUUAUUAAGAAUUUAAUUUAAUUACGCUUUUUUUUUUUAUAAAAAAAACAGUUAUGCUUUUACCAAGAUGUUAAUAUUCAUAUUUUUCUAGCUAACAUAAAUAGAAUAGUACACUUUUUCAUAUAAAAAAAUAAUUUAUGAUUUUAUUAUAAUGUUACUAUUCACAUUUUACUAAAAAUAUUUAUUUAUUUUAUUUAUUUUUAAUUAUAAAAUAAUUUUAUUUUCAAGAAUUUAAUUUUAAAAAAAUAGAAAUCAUUUAUUCUUUUACCAAGAUGUUAAUAAACAUAUUUUUCUAACAUAUACUAAAAUAAAAAAGUUUACUUGUUCAUUAAAAAAUAUAAUUUAUGUUUUUAUUAUAAUACUACUAUCUAUGUUCUACUAAAAAUAUUUAUUUAUAAUUAAAAAAUAAUUUCAUUUUUAAUAAGACUUGAACUAAAUUAAAUUUAUAAUUUUUUUUUAAAAUAAAAUAGAAAAUUAUUUUUUAAAAACAACUUAUUGAAAGAAAUUUUUUAUUCUUUACUUUUAAGAACUGUUUUUAAAAGCAACCUAUAAACCCCUUUGGGUCUGUUUGGCUAUGUUUCAUGCAACUUGUUUUUAAAAAUUGUUUUUUAUUCUUUAAUUUAAUUUUUUUUAAGUUAAAGAAUAAAAAACAACUUUCUAGUGUUUUAUAAAAAUGAGAGCUUUUGACAAGUUGUUUUUAAAAACCAUUUUUAAAAAUAAAAAAUAAAAAACUUAUUUAGAUAAAUUGUUAUAUAUAUAUAUAUAUAUAUAUUUGUAAAAACAUUUUAAAUUCAAUUUAUAUAAUAUAAAUUUAAUUUAAUUUAAGUCUUAUUAAAAAAAAAUUGUUUGGAUAAGUUUUUUUUUUUAAAUAGUUUAUUAUUUUUGUUUUGUAAAAACAUUGCAAAUUCAAUUUAUAUAAUAUAAAUUAAUUUAAUUCAAGUCUUAUUAAAACCAAAAUAAUUUUAUAAUUACAAAUAAAUUUAAAAAUAAUUUUUUUAGUAAAACAUGAAUAAUAAAAUUAUAAAUUAUAUUAUUGUGGACCCUGCAUUUAUGCUCAUGCGCUUCCACUUGUUGGCGAACUCAUUUUUUAUUUGAAAAUGAUUUAUUUUUUUAGAAAAUGACUUAGAGUCGCCACUUAUUUUUGUUUUAUUUUUAAAGGGCAAGCAAAAUAAGAAAGAAAACCCUAAGUGUGACUCCUUAUUCGAAAAAGGUAGUCUGUGUAAAACCGGAUCAGGGUUCAGGGAUCAGGUUACUUAUUGGGAAGGUAUGACAAUGACCGUAGCACUCCUCUAAGUCCUUAAAAACGGGCCUCUACUAAAAAAAAUAAAGUAAUCAUGGCAAUCAGUAAGGAAAUCACUGGAUACCCAGAACAAUUAUGCACAUGUGAGAAUUAAAACAUGCAUAAGAAUGGACAAAGUGAGAGUGGGUGCGUACCUUGACAACGAACCACAAUGCGUUAUCAAGAAAUGGGGUUAGUGCACGAUCAAUGAACAUAAAACACGUCACACAUGUCACUAAGCAGAGUGAGAAAUCAUCAGAUAUUACAAUUCAAUCAAAUUUAUUUUUAGAAGAAACAUCUGUUGAUGUAGAGCCCCUACCAAAGCCUAAUUUAUUUUUGCAUGAAUCAAUUUCAUAAAUUCAAUCGCUUGGAAUUACAGAAUUAAAUUCAUGCUUAUUUUAAAACAUCUUUUUAAAAUCAUGGAAGAUGUGAAAAUGGUUUUCCAAAGAGAAAAUGACAACUGAUUUUAUUGAAAAUGGGAUUUUGGGGACCUAAACGUUAAAGAGGGAUUAGGAAUUGAAAAUUAAAUCAUUUGAAAAUUGAAUUUUUCAAAAAUCAGUUUUGAAAGCAUGCAUGCAAGUAUGGACUGUGAAAGUGGGCCUAGGGAGGGUGGCCAUGCAAAAUGAGGUCAUACACGUGGGCCUUGGGUACAAUUGGGACUACUUUGCUGGUGCCAGUGGUGCUUGCAGCUGUCAUCCAUGAUUUCUUCAUUGGGAUCAAUUUCCAUUCUUACUGCCAAACAUUCCAUAACAAUUGACCAAACUAGUAACCCUGACCUUGCAUGAAAAUGAACGUUACCUAGAAACUCACUGCCAGUGAGAUUCAUUGCUCUUUCAAAAGGUCUCAUUUUCUUUCUCAUCCAAUUGCUUUAAGGAGCAUUCUAGCGUCACGAUUGGUGACUGCGCAUCAUCUAGAGCCUUCUUUCUUCUCAGAAUCAGGUUUGCGUGCAGAGGCCUGUGCUUGUUCAAGGUUGACCUAAAUUCAUCUAGGUUUAGAACCGACCAGUUGAGCUUGGGGAGCAACGACAAGAAUAUCAGUCACUUGCGAAGAGAAAACUCGAGAUCUUUCAAGUAAUGCCUGACAUAGAUUCCUCCAACCUGUGGCCAAUAUCUCAUUCCUUGUUGGCCAGACGCCUAUUAGGGCGUAUCUCAAUCAAUAAUAUGAUUUUUCGUUUGUUCACAAUAAAGACCGGAAGCCAUGGUUGUGAUUUAUGCAGUACAGAAGAAGUUGCCAUGGCUGGUAUCCUUACAAAUUCUGGUGUUUCUGCUAUCUGUUCAAGUGCAAAACACAACAGCUUUAUCAAGUUUGUCCCUAACAACUGAUAUUGAGCCCUCUGGAGGAAACCUUGAUAAAUUCAUAAUCACUUUUGACUCAUGCAUGGGCUGCCCAUCAAAUUUUCCUAGCAACGAGACGACUGCUGUCAUCUACUGCAAAGAGAAUUUCUUCUCGCAAAGACAAGAGGAGUUUAAGAAUACACACUAUUCUGCCAUUUCAUUUCCUCUUUCUCCACAACCAACAUAAACCAUAGUGUCUACAUUAGAGUACUUAGAAAGAGCUUAACUGAUGACCGUUUUUCCACAACCAAAUGCCCCAGGUAUGGCACAAAUUUCACCGAAAACAGAAGGGAAAAGGGCAUCAAGAACACGCUGUCCUGUAAGUAGUGGGGUAUCAGGACUACUCUAGGGAAGUUAUUUCUGUCAUUUUGAAAAAGAAAAAUUAAAGAAUGUACACAUGCUUUCAAGUGGACUGGAGCAUUCUACAUAUCAGGUGGUCUGUAGCCACAUGUGCCACUUUGUGGAAGUUGGAACAGUCGAUCACUAGGCUAUUUAGUGUGGCCAAGCCACGUUAAUCAAGGACAAGUCUUCAUACUUAAAAGUCAAAUGGUGCCUUUAGUCUCAUUACACAUGGCUAUUUAAAGAUGAACUAAUCUUUAGUGUAAUGUGAUUAAGACAGUACUAACUGAUCAAUAUUUUUUCUAAUUUUGGAUGCAAAUGCUUGCUGGCUUCAUCAUUGGAUGGGAUAAAGGUGCAUUCAUGACUCUGAAUACUUGCAGUAAUACUUGCAGUAAUACUUCAUUCUCUUUUUUCUCGAUGAGACUUCUUGGCACAAUUUUGCUUCUCAGCAACCUACCUCUCCAUGGAAAAUGAGUUGCGAUUGAUGGUACUGGAUAUUUUCUAGGAAGCUAAAUAUAGAUAUAUAGCACUCAAUGUCAACGAUAUAUAUAGCAUUAACAGUAUAUGUCUCAAUGCUCAUCAGCUACAAGCAAGGGACAAACACUUACAAUGAAUAACUCACGUCAACAUUCCUAAACAGGACAUAGAAGUGACAGAUCUAUAUAUAGAACACUGCAUAUGAGUCACAAGAAAAGAUAAUACGGGUGCAUAGCAGCUCUUAUAUUACAUAUUACUCAUACCGUUCAAAUUCACUCAGUUGGGAUGGGUGGGAGAAGGAGGCCUCUGGGGUGGCUUGUGCGUGUGAGAAGUGGAAGAAAGUUGAAUGGAAUGAAACUGAAAAACAGGGUAGAAUAGAGGUUUCUUGAAUCUUCUGAAAUCUUUAUUUUUCUGAGAUUUAUUCUCUGUUUUUGUGAGUCGUGACUCUACAUAUAUACAUGUAUUUAAAGUUAGUUAUGCCUUAUAACUAAUUAUCUAACAGUACCAAAACUAAUCAUCUAGUUGCAUGUUUCUAAUUAAUGCUAUUUAGUUACAACUAUAUAUGGCUUAACAUCCUCUCUCAAACUCAAAAGUCUAGCUAGAACAGUGAGUUUGCUUCAUAGAUUGAGAAAUUGUUGAAUAGGUAAGGCUUUGGUAAGAGCAUUAGCAAUCUGGUCAUAAGAAGGAAUGUGUUGAACCACCAAAGUCUUAUUGAGCACCUUUUCCUGAACAAAAUGGCAAUCUAGUUCCACAUGCUUAACUCGAGAAUGAAAAUAGGAUUGGCAGCAAGAAAGGUGGCUGAAAGAUUGUCAUAGAACAAAACAAAAUAGGAGAAUAAGAAGAUGAGAUAGAAAACUCCUGAAGAAGAUGUUGAAUCCAUUGAAGUUCAAAAGCAACAUUUGCUAAGGCCCUAUACUCAGCUUCAUUGCUGGAACGAGACACAACUUUCUGCUUACUGGAGUUCCAGGAGACUAGAUUAGAGCUAAAAAAGAUGCAAUGACCACUUGUACUUCGACGAUCAUCAGGGCAACCAACCCAAUCAACAUCAGCAUAAGCAGUAAGUUGAAAAUCAGGAGAAGAAUAAAAGGAAAGACCAAAGGAAGUAGUGCCCUUAAGAUAAUGCAACAAUCGUUUAACAACUUGCCAAUGAAGAUCAGUUGGUUAUUGCAUGAAUUGGCAAAGUUUAUUGAUAGAGAAAGAGAUGUCAGGCCUUGUAAUGGUACAAUAUUGCAGGGCUUCAACAAUGUUGCGAUAUUGAGAAGGGUCAGCCAAGAGGGAACCUUUAGAGGCAGAUAAAGUGUGAGAGGUAGUCAUUGGUGUAUCAAUAGGUUUAAAAUAUGGAAGACCAGCACGAGUUAACAAGUCCUGAAUAUAUUUGGUUUGGGAAAGAUGAAGAGAAGAUCCUUGCCAACAUACUUCUACACCCAAGAAGUAAUUCAGAAUACCAAGGUCCUUGAGAGCAAACUGAAAGUGUAAAGACGAAACCAUUUGGUGGACUAGCACGGUAUUAAGACCACUAACAAUAAUGUCAUCAACAUAGAUGAGAAUAAUGAUCAUGUCAGUCCCUUUCCGAAGAGGAGCUUGCUUCAGACCCUACAAGGCUUUGCGAAGUUUACAGAAAAAACCGGGUUUAGAAUGAUCAACAAAGCCUGGAGGUUGAACCAUGUAAACCUCUUCUUCUAACUCACCAUUGAGAAAGGCAUUAUUAACAUCUAAUUGUUCCACUAACCAACCAUGAGAAAUAGCAAGAGAAAGAACAAUUCAUAUAGUAGUUGGUUUAACAACAAGGCAAAAGGUUUCAAAAUAAUCAAUACCAUAUGUUUGAUUAAAACCCUUUGCAACUAAGUAGGCUUUAAAACGAUCAAUUGAGCCAUUAGCUUUGAGUUUCAGCUUGUAUAUCCAUUUACAACUAAUAAUGCGUGUAUUAACAGGUUUAGGAACCAAUGUCCAUGUGGAAUUGGUGAGAAGAGCAUCAUACUCAGUCUUCAUAGCAGCUUGCCAAUUAGGAUGCAAUAUUGCUUCUUUGAAAGAGGAGGGUUCGACAACAGUAGUUUGGAUAGCAAGGCUAAAUAUUUUUUUGGGUUUAAAAAUACCAUUUUGGCUACGAGUAACAAUAGUUCGGUUUGGAAGUGAAAGAGGAUCAGUGGAGGAGGCUGGAACAAGGGAUUGUGGUAAAGUAGGAAAGGAAGGUGGAUGAGAUGGAACAAAAUCAGUAGGGACAAUAAUGGGAGAAGAAAAAUUAGGUGGAGAAUGAUGAGGAUUCCUUGAAGAUGGUGUAGGAAUAGAGAGAAUACCAGAAUCAAGAAGUGUUAAAGAAGAGUUGGAUGAUGAUACUGGUUGACAGGAUAAAGACUUUGUUAAAAAUGGAAAUCGAGUUUCAUCAAAUACAACAUGACGAGAAGCAUAUAUCCGAGAGGAAGCCAUAUCCAAACAGAGGAAUCCCUUGUGUUUAGCACUAUAACCCAAAAAACAGCAAACAACAAAUAUAUUUGCUAGCUUGUGAGAAGCAUAAGGGCGAAGAUAAGGAAAACACAAGCAUCCAAAACUUCAAAGAGAUGUAUAAUAAGGUAAACGAUUAUAAAGAACUCCAUAAGGAGAAUUUUGUGAAAGAACAGCAGAGGGAAGGCAAUUUAUGAGAAAAAUGGCAGUUUGAAAUGCAAAUGACCAAUAUUUGAGAGGGUAUACCAGCUUGUAUUAACAAAGAAAGACCAACUUCCACAACAUGACGAUUCUUUCUUUCAACUCUUCAAUUUUGCUAAGGAGUAUAAUGACAAGAGACUUGAUGAAGAAGACCAUUUGUAGCCAAAUAAUUCUGAAAAGCUGAAACUGAAACUCAUCAAAUUGAUUUUUAGUAUCAAAUUUUCUUCAGACUGAACACAUUGAUUUUUAGUAUCAAAUUUUCUUUCAACCAUGGCUUGAAAAUGUUGGAACAUAAGUAAAGCUUCAUCUUUAGUUUCCAAAAGGUACAACCAUGAGAAUAUGCUAAAAUCAUCAAUUAGCAAGAGGAAAUAUUGAGCAUUACCAUUGACAGAAACUAUAGGAGUUGCACCCCAAAGAUCAACAUGGAUGAGACCGAAUGGUUUUAUUGCUCUAGAAGUGGAUAUUUCAAAUGGAAAACGAUGGCUUUUAGCCAACUGACAAGACUCACAUACAGAGUUAUUAUUGUCAUGUUUCAAAGGUAUUUUAUAAAGAGAUAAGAUUUUGGAAACUACAUUAAUAGAGGGAUGACCAAGUCUAUUAUGCCAAAGCCUCAAAGAACCAACGGCUAAAGUACUACUAGUAGAGUAAAAUACUAGUGGAUGACCAACAACUCUUGGUGUAGCAAGAAGUUUAUAGAGACCCUUCUCAAUUUUUCCUUGAAGAAGAGCAAGUCUCGUUUCCUGAUCCUUUACCACAAAAUGAGAAGAACGAAAUUCAAUAAAGGUGCCAUUGUUUGAGUAAAAUCGUUGCACGCUAACUAAGUUGGUGGUAAUAGAAGGAACAUGUAAGACAUCAUUGAAAAACAAAGAACCACUUGAAGAGGCAAGAGAAAAUUUACCAAUAUUUGCAAUGGAUAAACCCUUACCAUCUCCAACAAUUACUUUGUCACCACUGGUAAAUGGAUUAUGGAUUGUUAAAUUGUUAAGAUCAGAUGUGAGAUGAUGGGUAGCCUUUGUAUCAAGAAACCAAUAAGUGUCUCCCAUUGUUGCAGAAGUUGUAGUCAUAGCCUCAGGAUUGUUAGAGGUGGAAUGUUUAGAAUCUUUUGGCUGAUAAUCAGAGUUAAACCGAUACCAGCAUUGUAAAGCGGUGUGUCCGAACUUACAACCGAGAGAAAUAAUCUUUACUUAUUCUCUAAAAACUGUUCUUUAUUCCACACAUUAUUUCUAAAAACUGUUUCUAGAUAACAAUGACAAAAUAGUAUUAGGAAUUUUUAAAAAUAAAAAUUGUUUUUAAAUUACAUGAUCUAUAUCAUUCACAUUUGACCAUUAUAGCUUUGUUCAGGAAAACACUUGAAAGUAACCUUAUCGUGAUAAGAGAUAUAAGUUGGCUGUAGUUUCAAACUGAAAACAGAGGAUGGCAAUAGAAAGCAAAGCAUUAGUUAUCUGCAAUCAGUGGUGAUCAUGCCCCAUGUCAAUUUCGGACCCAUAUCUUAAAACCGUAUAAUUUGCAUUUCAACAUUUCUGAUUUCUCAGAUGUUUCAUACUCCACAGAAGAACAUUGUUUGUGAAAGCAUGCAUUUAUGCUGGAUUUUGGAUGAUGUGGGAACUGGGGCAAGGAUCAUAUGGAAGAGUGGUCGAUUUUUUCUGUACUUUAACAUUUGAAAUAGGAGCAGCACGGGCAUUUGUGGGGCUUAAUUGAUUUUGAAGCCUGAAAUUGCGUUUCUGUCAUUUUGUAAAAAAUAUGGCAGAUUCCAUGCUCUCAUAUGUUUGGUCUGUGGCCAUGUAUAGAUGCCACUUAGUGACCAGUUUGUAACUGUCAAUCAUAGUGUUUUGACUCUGGCUCAACAACAUCAGCCAUUGACGGAUUUUCAUACAUGCAAAUCAAAUAGUCUUCUUCCUCCCUUAGGAAUUUCGGUUUAAAUGUUAUUAAGCAUACAUUUGGCUGACAAUUAUUAACCACUUCAUGAUAUGGUUUCUUACCCUUAAUCAAUGGUUUCUAAGUGAAUAUAUGCAGAAGGAAAUCUGAACUGUAGACAGCAGUAUUGAUAAUUAUCAAUAUUCUUUAUAUAAGAGAAUAAACAACGUCAUAGUGAUCGUCGCCUACAAGAAAGGUACAUUUCCCAACAAGAUGUAGUUGUGACUGGUACAUGGACGUAAUUAACUCGUAGAAAAGGAUAAGACCAGUGCACGGCAGCUCUUAUUUUACAUGCUAAUUAUGCUAACCAAAGUCACUCAGUUGGGAUGGGAGGGAGAUGGAGGUUUGUGCGGUGGCUUGUGGGGCGGAGUUGGUGGCUUCUUUUCAGGAGCUUGUGGCUUUUUCGGAGCUGAAGGAGGCUCAAUCUUAUGAGGCGGCUUGUACGAGUCUUCUUUACUCUCGACAGGAGGGUGGCCAGGGUUGUGACCAUAAUGUGGUGGCUUCUCUCCCUUAGGUGGCUUGCCAACUGGGGUUGGUGGCUUGUGUUCAGGAAGUGGUUUCUCUCCCUUGGGAGGUUUACCAAUUGGGGUUGGUGGCUUGUGUUCUGGGAGUGGUUUCUCUCCCUUGGGAGGUUUAGUGGGUGACUUGUGUUCUGGAGGUGGCUUCUCCACCGGAGGCUUGUGCUCCGGUGGUGGCUUCUUGGUUGGA
This 65277-nucleotide long non-coding RNA is filed under the name Vitis vinifera (wine grape). RNAcentral describes it as "long non-coding RNA (VVIN_LNC001392)". Lineage: Eukaryota; Viridiplantae; Streptophyta; Magnoliopsida; Vitales; Vitaceae. The record is from RNAcentral.